Molecule: long non-coding RNA, 62805 nt
Filed under: Brassica napus (rape)
Lineage: Eukaryota; Viridiplantae; Streptophyta; Magnoliopsida; Brassicales; Brassicaceae
Description: long non-coding RNA (BNAP_LNC016437)
Source: RNAcentral
CAUUUCAAACCGAGCAAGUAGACUAAUUACUACAACAACAACAAAGAGAUUCUCUUUCACCUACAAAAGAUUACAGAAAAAAAUGGCCAAAAGCGAAUCUUUGCUUUUGAUUCUUCUUUUCAUCUCCGUCUCUCUAUCGACGGCUAGGAUAUCACCAGGAGAGUUUCAUCCCGUCAUCUUAUCUGGAGAGAUCUCUCAUGAUUCUAAGGCGGUGGUUGGUUGCGGAGGCGAGGGGUCGGAGACAAACACGGGAUAUUCUUUUAUGCCUGAAGUCGUCGCCGGAAAAUUUGGCUCGUUGGUGUUGAAUGCCGAAAGGGAGUCGUCCGGCGUCUGGGCCCAGCAAGAAAAGUCAUGACGUCAAGAUUUAAUUAGAUGAUGUUUCUGUGUCUGAUCUUAAUUUUUUGUUGUUGUUUCCGUCCAAUUCUUUGGCAACACUUUUGAAUUCUCUAUAAAAUAUUGUAAAUGUAUAUUCAGAUAUUACAGUAGUGAGUUUUAGAUUUUGUAGUCUUUUUGAAUUGAAAUGAUCAAGAAUGUUUGGUAAUAAUCUUGUAUCCAUCUCAUCUAUCAAAUACUUUUUGAUAACUACUAAUCAGCUUUCCAUCUCUUGUGAUUAUUUAUUAAACAAUGGUAGGUAGACGCAUACAAGUUGAACCAAAUUAAUAUAACAUUUAAAAUGGUACUAUGUAGCUUGGGGAUAGCUGUAUUAGGUUGGGUCCAAGUAAAGAUCCCAAGGCGGAAGGGAUCAGAAACUACUGCAAAAUAUGUAGAUUGCUUUAACGCGUCUGCAUCACCUUACUAUGAUCGCUUAACUUGGUAUCUAUGUAUUAGAAUGUAGCAAAAUUUUAUUAUUGGAAAAUGUAUCGUAAAACAACGUGUAUUAUUGCAACCACAUGGUCAUUUCGAGCUAACUCAAAGACCAAAGAGACAUUAUACGUUUGUUUCAAACAAACUUAUAAAAACAAAGCCGAGCUGGGAACUGGUUCCUCUCUUUAUGUAACGAACUCACUUGCACUCCUUAUAAACUUCGCUUGCAUAUUUCCAGUUGACCACUUUCCACACGUUCUUCAGAUACUCCGGCCUCACAUUCUUGUACUGCAAGAGAGAGAGAGAGAGAGAAAAGAGUUGAUUAAAAGCUUGAUCUUACAAGCUAACUCAUUAUUUAACAAGUGUUGUUACCUGUAAAUAGUAGGCGUGCUCCCAAACAUCAAUACCCACCAGAGGAACCAAGCUUCCUCCUUUUGUCACAAGUGGAUCCUGAUAUCAUCAAUCAAACAGAGUCUCUCUCUUUAAAUCCAUCAAUACCACAUGUAUUUAUAAAAUAUAAAUAUCGCCGGCUAAUCUAAAAUAUGUACCUGAUUGGCGGUUGUGUCAACCACAAGCUUCUUAAGCUCUUUGUCUAAACCGAGCCACUGAAUCAAUCAAAACAAAACAAACCGAGUCAAUAACCAAGAUUACAAGCAUUGCGACAAAACAAACAAAAGGUGAAUGAAACUAGAGUAUACUAACCACCCAUCCUGACCCUUGCAGAGCAGCACCUUCAGCACUCAUCUUCUUCACCAAACCUUCAAGGGAGCCAAAAUGAGUGUCAAUGGCGUAGCCAAGAGCUCCCUUUGGUGGCUCUCCCCCACCUUCCUGUUAUAUAUACUCAAACACACACACCAUUAAGCAAACAGACCAACAAUCAAACGGAAGAAACAGAAAGUAAAAAAAAAAAAAAACACAAGCUCUCACCUUGACAGGAGCAAGAUUCUUCCAGAAAAUAGAGUGGUUCACAUGACCUUCACAACAUUAGUAAACAAAGUCAACGACUUUCAAUCUCCACCACAUAAAAAUCAAAACUUUAGCUACUAAGCUAACAAGUUGGCACAAAGAUCAAGUCUUUAGCUCAAGAUCCGAAAACCCAUCACCUAACUAACCGAUCAAAACACACCAAAACAGAGAUUCCAAAAGUAUAAAAAAAAGUCAAGAAGACAAACCUCCGCCGUUGAACUUGAUGGCGCUCUGCAACUUAACGACGCCGGAAGCGUCUCCCUUGUUGACGGCCUGAUCCAGCUGCUCGAGGGCAUUGUUGUAAUUAGUGACGUACGCCUGGUGAUGCUUCUGGUGAUGGAUCUGCAUGAUCUCGCCGCUGAUCGCCGGCUCCAAGGCGCUGUAAUCAUAGGGGAGAUCAGGAAGCGUGAAGGUCUGGAUUGAUCGGAGACCAAGAAGCCUCGAAGAUGUCUCCUUUAGGCCCGCUAGGGUUUUUCUGCUGGCUACGGAACGAAUCGCCAUUGUUGAUAGAGAGAUGAUGAUGAGACAAGACACAGUGAGAGAGAGAGAGAUACGUGGUCGCCUCAAAAGACGAAUGAGGGUAGUGAUAAAGUCACUGCUUGUCACAUAGUAGUGAAGUAACAGUCAUGACACGUAGACUUGUGUAUAUGGGCCGUAAUAUUGGGCUAGUGAGCCCAAGGCUUUUAAUUAAUAUUCUUUUUUAAUAAAUCUUUUAAUUCAAGGAAAGACGAUGAUGAUGAUGUUCAUGGUGAAGGUGAUGAUGAUGACGACGACGACGAUCUAAAGUUGACUAGAGGCGGAGAAUUUCGAGAAUGUUGGGAUUGGAUGCAUGUAAAAGCCACUUUUAUUUGGUUCCUCCUUGAUUAUUCUGAUACGUCGUCGUUUCUCCGAUCGAAUCUAGUUCCUUUCUCUAAGCCCAGAAGACACCAUUGUACCCAGAGGAUACCGAGAUCGCAGAUUUAAGGCGAGGCUUCUCAAAUCUCAAUCAAUCGAGAUUGGCAUUCGUAAAGUCGGAGACUUUUCUUGAAUCCGGGUUCUGGAAUCUCCGAUGGAUAGUUCGAGUGACAACGAGGGUGAUUACGACGGAAGAAACGAAGAGGGAUCUACGUCGGAUUAUCGAUUGCUGGGUCGGCAAGUUACGGUUCAUCAAUUCAUGGGCGGUGGCAAAGGCGAGUCCUUUCUCUGAUUUCACCAAUUGGGUAGUUUUCCGAUUAUAGUUUCUCGAAUUGUUGAAAAUUAGGGUUUCUAAUUUCAAUUCACUCGGUAAUGUAAUUGUUAUGUGGACAAUUACAUUUGAUCUUGAAUGAGAACUAUUGAAAGAUUGAAUUUUUCUCUGGGCUAGAAAAAGUGUGAGGUCACAAUCAAUGUUCUUAGAGGCUCUGCAAGUGACAUUCUAUGGGUUUUGUUCUUUGUUGUUGCAGCUGCUGACUUACUCUUAUGGAGGAAGAGAAACCAUUCGUUGGGGGUCAUCGUUCUAUCAACCGUAGCUUGGCUUAUAUUCGAGUUUUCCGGAUUGCCUUUCUUAUCUGUUUCUUCAGAUGUCUUACUGAUCGUUGUCAUACUAUCAUUCGUCCUUGCCCAGGCUUCUGGUUUUAGGAGCAGGUGCAAUACUGAUUCUCACCACUCUAUAGUAGUCCUUUUACUGUAAUUUGUUUGCUCUUUGAUCCCUACCUUUUUUGUUCCCUGUGUAAGCAGACAUGUGAAUUCGUUACCAGAGCUUGUUCUAUCCGAGGAAAUGGUUAAUAGUGCCGCAGCUUCCUUCCGUGUCAAACUUAAUCACUUGCUUGUAAUGGCUCAUGAUGUCACAGUUGGCAACGAUUUUCGCCUCUUCUUCAAGGUUAUGCAUAUUGAUACUAUUUUUUUUCUUGGAAUCUGAAAACAUUUGGGCUAAGAUGUGUUGACAGUCUUGGCCCUAUUUGUCUUUAGCAGGUGGUGAUUUGUCUGUGGCUUCUUUCUGCCAUUGGUUGCUAUAUUUCUUUCUGCACUCUUGUUUAUAUCGGUUAGUAACUUUUGAUCCCUAUAUAAAAGAAAAAAAAAGCAUUUAAAGGGCCUUUCCUGCAUGUCUUCAUAACCUUUUAACUCUUAAUGGUUACUCCAUUUGCGUUCAGGGACUAUCCUCUCUGUAACAAUACCGGCUUUGUACAGCAAAUAUCAAAGCAAAGUAGACAAGUGUUGCGGUUUGAUUCACAGGCAGUUUUCUCAUCACUACAAGUUAGUUGACGAAAAUGUUAUAAGCAGACUCUCAUGGAGCUUUUCCAAGGAUAAAGAUUCCUGAGCUUUAGUUUGGUUGAUUUUUGAAAAUGCUUUUACUCGUCUUUCUUCACUAGCUGAGUUUUCUUCUUAUCUUACCAUGUGUAGUAUGUAACUAAAUGACAAUGUCAAUGAUGAAUAUAUGAGAUGGUACCCCAUUUGCCCAGUAAUGUUAGGUCACGUGUCCAUGUCACAUUUAAUUUUCAAUGAAAAGAACACAAUAUAGUUGGACUACUUACUAUAUGAAUAAGGUAUUCCAUGAGGAUCCUGUCUAUAAACUUAUUUAGCUAUCCUAAUCUAAUUUUAGUUUCUAAUACUUUUUGAACGACUAGCUAUCAUUUAUCCUUGUAUGUAUAAAACUAUGAUUAAAUGGAGACCAUAGAGCUAAAUAGGCCUCCGUUUCCAUCUACUAAACAAUCAUUAGCAUAUCUCUAGAAGUUUCAACUCUGGUAUGAUAAUUAUGUCUAAUCUAAACUAGUCACCAACUAAAAUUAAAUACUAACAGAUUUUUUUCUAACAACUAAGAAAUUAGUCAUUAAUAAUGAUGGAUAAUGAUGUUAUGAAUCUCACAUUAAACUUGAAUAUUUUAUUUAUAUGGAUACAACAAAUACGAGUACCUUUAAUUUUCUGAAAAUAUAUGAGACUUUGUAGCAACGUCCAACCAAGCAUAUUAUAAAGGAAUAGUAAAUAAUAAAUAUACACACAAUAGAUUCGUGUAUAAGGUUGAUGAAUUCAUUUUUCACACGUUGGAGUGUUAUUGUCAACCAAUGGAACUAUUGAAGCUAAGAGAGACAAGUGUUGUGUCGUUUGCGUGAACUUGUAUUGUCUAUUUUCAUUCGUAUACUUCUUCAUUAACUAGUGUGUUUGAAUUUGGACUUCUUAAUCUUAAAUUCUUAAUACUUGUGGACCCGUAAACGCCACAUGAAUUUGUAUGAGCCAUUGAAUUCGUAAACCAGUUACAUACACAUAUGUUUUUCACCAUCGGAAUAUGUUUUAUGAAUCUGAAUCUGGAUUAACCAUCGUAUGAAUUUUGUAAUAUCAUCAUAUGGUAAAUCAACUAAAUGGAAAAUUAACUAAUCUUUACCGACUACACAUAUAUGGUGACCAAAACUCUAGGUCCUUUCACUUUUUCUCAAGGAUAAUGCCAUAUACCUAAUUAUUGAAAACCAUUUUGAUUAGUAAUGAUGUGUCUACCCGCAAGAAGACGAAAAACAUGGAAUACUUAUAUGAUAUUAUAUGUUAAUUAUAUUCGACAUAAUUAGUUGGGAAUAUGAUACCCCAACCAUGCAGAGUUUUAUAUAAUCAAUUAUUAUUUUUAUACAUCAAAUCUUAGUUGUAGUUUUUUCUUAUUUGAGGAUUAAGUCCUUUUAGCUUGAUUCCAAAGUUCUUAAAACCACUACUAAUGAGUUUGUUAGUUGUCGAUUCUGAUAUCUACUAAACUAAUCGUUUUCUUAUUUGUCUUCUAUCCUUUAUAUUUUCCUUAGUCAAAAGAAAAUGCACAUCGAUCCAACAUUGAAUUGAAUUACAUAAUAGGGUCCCAUUAAAUAAAAAUCAGAAUUAAUAUUAGGAUAUACCAUUACAGUAUAAACUAGGUAGUGGCUCAAUAUGUUCAAACUAUGUUUUUAAACUGAAAUCUUAAACCUAAAUUCGUACUAAUCUCGAACCAAAUGCUUUUCAGAAAAAAAAAGUAAAAAAUAAACUUUGCUAUCUCCCAGUGAAGUAAUGACAUGAGGAUAUAAAAUAUAAAAUCUGUAAUUUUAAAAACAAAAGAAUAUAUAUGUGAUCAUCUGAUUUUGAAUUUUUGUUUUGCUUCUAUUAAAAUGAACACAGAAUAAAAACCCCAUGAUCUUAACCAAUAUAUAUAUAUAUGACAAAACAAUGGACUCCCAAAGCAAUGGAAACAAAAUUAAUAGUGACCAUUCACUUACUACAUAUAUAAAUAAUAAUUUUAGUAUUUUACAAGAAUUUCUUGGACCAACCACAUCAUCUUUCUCUCUAUAACUCUCCAAAGAGAGUCGCCCAUACAUCCAUUUACGAAUGUCUUUUAUCACAACUUGACAUAAAAACUUAUUUUGCCUUCUCUCAUCUUCAUUCACAAGUCAGGAGAAGAAACAAAUCAGAAAAUUGAGUCAAAAGCUCAAAACUCUAAAAGAAAGAGUGAAGAGAAAAAACACAUCGUGGGUCGUGUGAGCAAACAAGACAAAUUUUGAAGGUGUUACUUUCUGAUCUCCUCUUUUUCUCAAACAUACCUCAAAGAUGGCUCGCGUGUUACUUGAGCCGCAAGCAGACGCACCGGCCGACGCAAACCCUAAAGCCAGAACAGGCUUUAACGACACCUACUUCGACACUAACAUGGUCAUAAUUCUAGCUGCUCUACUCUGUGCUCUGAUAUGUGCUCUAAGCCUCAACUCUGCCUUGCGAUGUGUGCUACGCAUCACAAGCAGAUUCACAUCGGAGCAAGACGGAGCCGCUUCAAACGCAAACGCAAAUCCUGGACGUUUAACGGCUACCACGGGGCUCAAGAAACGGGCGCUGAAACAAAUCCCCGUGGGAUUGUACGGAUCAGGGAUCAUUAACAUGAAAGCUACAGAGUGUUUGAUCUGUCUCGGGGAUUUCGUGGAAGGAGAGAAAGUUAGGGUUUUGCCAAAAUGUAACCAUGGCUUUCACGUGAGGUGCAUCGACACUUGGUUGCUUUCACGUGACUCUUGUCCCACUUGCAGACAAUCUCUUAUCCUUGAGCAACCGUCGCCGAUGGGUGGUAGUUCUCGCCGGGAUGAUGACGUGGCAGUUUCUGUCGUAGGGACAUAACUUGAUGGUUAUUUCUGAACUUUGCUGUGUUCUCAGUCGGGAUUUGGUUGGUUAUGUAAUAUUGUUUCUUAUUUUACUAGGUCUAAGUUGAUGUGAUCGUUUAGACAUGUAUAUUCUUGUGCGUUGGUGAUUUUUAUUUGAUUGGUUUGGAACUUGAAUUUUUUUUUUUUUUUUGAAAGCUGGUAAAAAUUUGGAACUUGAAUUGUAACAGAGAAUGUCUUUUUGUUUUCAUUUAAUGGUUCCAUAAUUAGAAGACAUAUACUGGUAGCUCAACGUUUUGUGUGGUUAGCAACGUGACCAUCUAAAAGGAGAUUAAGAUUAAGACUAAGAAUUCGAGUAACGACCGAGGAAAUGGAUUAUAUAGCCGUCUAAAAUUCAAAACUUGUUGUUAUAUAUACACAAAAAAUCAUAACUACAAAAUGCAGAUAUUUUUUUAAUCACUUGUUAAUGCAUGCGCAACCGUAACAUUAUUAUUUUUAUUUGUAAACGGAAGAAGUAUAUUUUCAAACAAUUAGGAUUCAUAACGAAUGCAAUGUUUAUUAUUUAUCAAAAUAUUUUUGUAACAUCCCGAGUUGUGAUAUGUGAAAAGGCUUAACAGAAUUGAUUUGACUACCUAUGUCACCAAAGUUGACUUACCUUUUCCGGAGCACAUCCGUUUAGAACUCCAGAGUUAAGCGUGCUUGAGCUGGAGUAGUGGAAGGAUGGGUGACCUAUCGGGAAGUGAUUCGCGAUACCGUGUGAGUGAGGCCAAAGCACGGGAAAAAGUCGGGUAGUGAUUGCAGGGUCAGUAAACAAUGAUUUCGAGCCUUCAGAAAUUAACGGACCGACCGUCGGAUGAGAUGGGGCCUACGGGCCGAGAGAGCGGGCGUGGGUGGCCCAUUAGCCGUGGGCGGUCGGGGCGUUAUAAUUUUUUUCUGAAUUAUGUUACCUCUCUUAUUUUGGGGUGAAAAUAUCUACCGACCGAUCGAAAAUUCAAAAUAUGAUGUGAAGGAUUAAUUCAACGCAACUCUUCUCGUGUUUGCAUUUAGUAUCAACUUCCACAACUACUCUGCUUAUCUUGGGCCCGCCCUAUAGGGCCUCAAUUCCAUGAUUAAGUAGUGUUUCUUUUAGCGGCCCACAAAAAUCCAAUUGAGAGGACCAGACCAGAGAUAGUUCUAACUUCACGUUAUAAUUUUUAUUUCGGUUAUGGAAGCUCAUUUUUCAUUUUUAUUAUUGAUGUAUAAACAAUCUUAAAAUUAUAACGUAAACAAUCUUAGAGCAACAUUAUUGGUAGUCCCAACAUUGGUCCUUAGAACACCAUUAUCCUAGAGACCCAUUUAGGGUCUCUUAUUUUUUUUUAAUAUGUUUUAAUCGUAAAAGUGAAUUAAAAGACUGGAUGAAUCGACCCGAAAAUUUACUUGUUCCAUUGCAAGUCUCUUAUUUAAAGGUUCUUAAAAAAAAAAAAUUUAAUUAAACACUAAAUUUUUGAGGUAUGUUGCAGCUGCAGAACUUGAACCAGAAUAGAGAUCAAAGGAAGCUUUAACAGACUAAUGAGUUGUAUUAACAAGUGAAAAAGAAAGCAAAUGUUUGCUCAUUGUGAGAGUAGAUAACAUACCAAUAUUGGAAAGCAAAUGUUUGUUCAGGAGCAAUUCCCCUAUAAAAGAGAGAGCGGGACACAUCAUACAGCCAUUAUUGGAAAGGAAGCUAAGGGAAAAGAGAAUAAAUUGCAAUGCACAGAACACACAAGACCUUAAACCAAUGCAUAGUGAACAAAAAUGCAUACGCUGAGGCUUAUACCAACUCAAUUCACACAAUUCUAAUCACUUCAACAAUUCUCUCGAACCAGACAUGACACUUAAUCCAAAGAACUUAACUUUAUCUCAUUUUGACUCCCAUUUGAUGCAAAUACCAAUGCACAGAGAACAGAAAUGACUUUGAAGCAAUGCUAUUGAACAAGUAGAAAUAGCAAGCAACCGAGAAAGGUUCAAAAAAACAUAUUCACCUCAGCUAUUUCAACAGUACCAGCUUUCUCAAAGAGCAUAGCCAAGGCUAACCGAGAUCAUCAUCUUCGUCGAGAGAUGCUUCUUCAUCGUCGUUCAAAUCAACCACCUCUAGGGCUCCAUUGUCAUUCUCUAAAGCUUCCAGCCUAGCUAUAGCAGCCUAGAAUCAACCAAACACAAAUGAAGUCUCAUUGCCAAGGAAAAAAAAUAAUCAAAAAGUGAUUUCGAAAUCAGACAACACACCUGGGUUCGAUUGUCGGUGCUUGUAAGAGCUUCCGCCAUCUUCGUAGCAACCUUACGGGUACGGCUCGAGACUCUACGGUUCGCCAUGUCUCCAUACCACUGAUGACGAUUCAGUGUACCGGCGACGGUAGACCGAUGCGCUCACGUCUCCGCUUUCGUCCCCGUCUUGCUGAGCCCAAUCCAAAGUCUGGGCGACGGAGGAGACUUGGAUUCGAAACCGAUUUCACAAAUCGGGAGAGAGAUAGAGAUGAGAGUGGGAUGAAGUUCUGGAGAAGGUGAAGAGGGAGGAAGAGAAAUUACAAGAGACGUCUCUUCUUGUCCCUGAUUAAGAGACGUCUUUUAGGUUUAUUGAUAUUUUUCAUUUUUUUUUAAUCCUAAUAAAUGUAAGAGACCCUCUUAAAAGACCAGGAUAAUGUUGCUCUUAGUGUUUUUUGGUGUGGGAUCCACCACCUUUUUGCUAGAAACUUUGCUCAAAUGUUCCUAAUUAAGUAACGUUCCAAGGGUUGUCCCUAACUGUUUGCGAACCCCACUGACACGUGACGACCCGCAAUUGAUUCAUAUUUAAUAUCUUUUUUAAAUAAAAAAAAAAUAAAAAUUGAAGGACUAAAAAAUGUCUCAGCCGAUAAUCAUGCUCUUCUAUUGAUACAUGCAAAACUACCCAUAGAGACCGAGAAGCUGCAGUGAGACUCAGGUAAUAGUGUCAGUCUUUGUUGAGAGUUUGUUGAAAAUAUAUACUCAUAUGUUUUAUAUUAAGUCUCAUUUUAGCUUUUAAAAUUAUUUUAUUACUUGUGUUUUUUUAACAUUUCCAAUGCAUAUAUUAAAGAAUUUUCCUAUUUUAUCCUAUUUCUAAUUCAUUAAUUAAUAAUAAUCAAAUAAAAUAGUAUAUUAAAUAGAGAUAAAAAUUAUUAAUUUUUCAAUAUAUGUGUAAAAAUCUUAAACGACACUUAUUGUGGAACGUGUGUAGUAUAUUUGUCAUUUAACAGAUUUUUGUGUUUGUCAAUUACACUAUCAAACAAAACUAUUGAGCUAAAUUAUAAACAUAAUUUAAUAAAAAAAAAUUAUUAUAUUAAAAACAUUUUUUGUAAAGGGCCUUACUAAUUUUUUUAUCUUUACUUAUGACAUGAAAACUAAAGAAAAAAAACUACACUACAACAUUUAGUUGUCUGUUAGUUAUAUAAUUUAGAGAGAGUGAACAAUCUUUAUAGAGUGUAACAUAUAAUAAGAAAGGCUGCUAAGAAAAUAUUUUUUAAUUAUAAAAUGGAAUUCUAAAAAAGUUAGCCUUAGUUUCUUUUUAUUUUCUUGGGUCAAAGUCUUAGUUUCUAAAAUUAACAUUACAAUGAGCAUAACUGGAAUUGACUACACUAAAAAUUGACUUUUAGAUAAACUCAAUUAGUGUAAUACAUGGGAACAUUUCCAUGAAGAAUCUCCCUGUUUGAUGACUGAUAUCAAUAAGAAGCAAAAGAAAAAACAUUACAAUAAAUAUAAAUGGAAAACAAAAAUAAAAAAAAAAUCCAAAUUGAUUAAGAAUAGAUCGAUAUGUUCCCAAGAAUAGUAACACAUUAAUUAUUUAAAUUGAGCAAGAAUGACAUGUUGGCAAAUUAACAGAUAAAUAUCAAUCUAUACAACAACUAUAAUAUUAUUUAACUUAAUAUAGGCUGAUAUUUCUCUUAAAUAUAUUUUCAUAUAUAUAUCAUAAUUAUUUUGUUUUAUAGAAAAUAAUUAUUUUAUUGUUUUUAUAUAUUUAAGGAAUGUAAUUAACGUAUAAGUAAGUAAAUCAAAGAAUUUGUGAAUGGUCAUGCAUGAUUGAGAUUGUAAGAAAGCACUCAAUCUCUGAAUAUAUAAAUAACUGUAUUGAUCUCGAAGACAAUAGAGCACAAAAACCAAAAAGAAAAUAACCAAGAAGAUGAAGUGUUUGUGUUUGGUUGCGUUUCUAGCAAUUGUGAUCACACAAAGCUAUAACGAUCUAGGAGUAGAAGCAGCGUCGGGAGAUGGUUUCGUGAGCAGGAAAGGCGUCCAGUUUAUUCUCGACGGGAAACCGUUUUACGCCAAUGGAUUCAAUGCCUACUGGCUCACGUACGAAGCCACCGAUCCGGCCACAAGGUUUAACAUCACCUACGCCUUUCAAAACGCGACCAGUCGCGGUCUGACCGUCGCACGCACAUGGGGUUUCCGAGAUGGCGGUUACCGUGCUCUCCAAACCGCCCCUGGUCGCUACGAUGAACUAACGUUUCAGGUACGUACACCGUAUUUUGAUAUAGCCAAACAAGCUUUUGAUCUAAAAUAUAAUUUUACGUAUAAAGUCUAGAUUUUCCUCACCACGAGUGAAGCUUUUUAGUCUAAUAAUAUCUUUUAUUUUCUGUUAAUAAUUUGUUUUGCAUAUUUUAGGGUUUGGAUUUUGCGAUAGCCGAAGCAAAAAGACUGGGUAUAAAAAUGAUAAUCACCUUUGUCAAUAACUAUUCCGACUUCGGAGGAAGGAAACAAUACGUGGAGUGGGCUAAAAGUCAAGGCCAAGUCGCAAAUUCAGAAGACGAUUUCUACACAAACCCUCUUGUUAAACAGUUCUUCAAGAACCACGUCAAGGUACACAUACAAAGUCUAUUAAUAAUAUUCAUAUCAACAAUUUUUGAAGAUGGUAAAUUAAACAACUAUAUGAUCUUUCGCUUCAGACCAUGGUGGACAGAGUGAAUACAUUUACCAAAAUUGCAUACAAAGAUGAACCAACCAUUAUGGCUUGGGAGCUCAUGAACGAACCCCAAUGCAAAGCAGAUCCAAGUGGAAAAACCCUGACGGCUUGGAUUGGUGAAAUGGCUACUUACGUGAAAUCACUUGAUUCAAAACAUCUCCUCUCUACCGGUCUUGAAGGCUUCUAUGGUGACUCAUCUCCUCAAAGAAAAGCUUCUUUGAAUCCAGUUGCAGCCAACGUUCUUGGAACCGAUUUCAUCGCUAAUCACUUUUUCGACGCCAUUGAUUUCGCAUCGAUUCACUCUUACCCUGACUUAUGGUAAUAUAUAAUAAACUCACAUAACUCGCACUGGAUUUUUAUGCAUUCGUGUAGACAAAAUCCUCAUGUUCUUUUCGUUCCUUGCUUAACACAUUGCCUUAUAAAAAUCGUUUAUUUUCCUCUAGUAUAGUCCAUAACGUGGGAUUAUCUUAGUUUUGUUUUUAGCACCUUUAAAGCUUUUUAUUUUAUACUAUCGUAGACAUAAUAACUAUGCAAUAUGCAUGUAUUGCGUAAUAUAUGUCCACUAUAAAUUUGUUUUCUAUCCAGAAAAAUGUUUAGUUUCCUGAUACUUUUUAUCUUAGUCAAAGUUGUAGUGUUUAGAGUUUGUGAUCUAUCCUAGUGAAGUUUUAAGUGUUUACGAUUUAUGAUUCAGCUUAACCCAUCAAAAUGCAAUUUAUUUAACAUCAAUAUUGAUACAAGAAAACUUUUUGUUUUACAAGUUAAUCUCCAUUCCACUCCGUGUUUUUUUUUUUGCAGGUUUCCAAACCUAAAUGAGACUUCUCGAUUGGAAUUUUUAAGAAAAUGGCUUGAAGGCCACAUGGAAGAUGCACAAAACAUUCUUAAAAAACCUCUAAUCCUAGGAGAAUUCGGGAAACCAUCGAAUACACCAGGCUAUACUCUAGCUCAGAGAGAUGCCGUCUUUAAUGCAACGUUCGACACCAUUUACGCGUCUGCGGAAAAGGGCGGUCCAAUCGCAGGUGCAUUGUUUUGGCACCUUAUUAGCGGCGGUAUGACCAAUUUUGAAGACCCCCUCUCCAUUGUACUCAGUGACAACACCUCGUCGGUUAAUAUUAUUGGGCAGCAGUCACGAAAGUUGGGCUUGAUUGGUGGAAGAGGAAAACUAAGUCACAAAAUCAAAAUCUAGAUAGGGCCUUUAUGCAAUAGUCUACAUUGAAAUUGUACCCCAAUUGAUAUAAUAAUAUUCUUAAAACUUUUCUCAUAUCUUUAGAGCAUCAUUAGUGGUUGAAAUGGUUAAGAAAGUACCUGAUCAUUAUAAUAAUAAUAACUUGUUAUAAAUAAUUAUUUAAAAUAAAUAAAAGAAGCUAAGCUAGUUAUAGUAUAACACAUGGUGGUACGUCUCUUGAAUUCUUUGCAAGAGUCCCUUGAAGAAGUUACGACAAUCUCUAUCUCUCUUCAUCAUGUAUUUCUCUUCCUUCCUUUUUCAUUUUUUAAUAUUAUUAGUGGUUAGGUACUCUAAGAAUUAACCAUCGCUCCGGGUGCUCUUGCAUACUCUUUUACUAAAACGCCAUAAUGAGAUAUAGCCAUGUAGCAACAUCAAAGCAUUUUAUCUAUUCUCAUAUUUUCCUUCCUGAUGGUGCUUAAGAGAUGGUAAGAGGGUCCUGGCUACUUAUUUAACUCCAAAGAGAAAGAGAAGUAUCAGAUUUAAAGGAGCUCAAAUCCGCCGUUAGGGUUAUAAUAAAGGAACAGACAAUAUUGUGGUCUGAAGAUAAUAGUUUAAAAUCAAAUUUGAGGAGGCCGCUGAGGAGCUCCUGUUUCAAAUCGUUGUAAGCCUCAUCAACGACAGUGAAAGAGAAAAUGGCGCUCUUUUCUAUUACGAAUGUCUGCGAACGAAACCCCUAAUAACACGAACAUCUAUAUAUUAUAUGGUAUUUAUUUAGUUAUUUGUGGGUUCUUUUAUAUAUAAAUACUUAAAUGAUUGAAAAUCAAGCACUUUGUCAGCCACACAUAUUUCAAGGCUCACCAAAGUUUAUCUAUCUUUCUUUUCUGGUCUUCUUUAUCGUGUUGGGCUUAUUACUUUACAUCAACUCACCAAAUUAAAAUAAUUCAAGAAAAAUUAGGACCAGAAUAUAUAAAAUAAAUCGAACUGAAAACGAGACAGGAUCAGCCUAUCAGGUCGAACAUGGACGGCCAGCCUAUUAGGACCAAUAUGUGUCUUCUUCACGUACUUAUUCUUAAGUAUUGAAUGUUAUUACAUCUGGCUGUAACAAAAUUUCGUGGUUAAAUUAUUAAACAACUGUUGAACUACAUAUAUACUGUAGGUGUAGCUCACAACGUUACGCGUCACUAGACACACAAAGAACUUUUGAGACAAAGGGACAUGGUUUUUUUCCACUAUCCCAAAUCUAUUCGUUUGCAUAUGUAUCAUCAUAUAUAGAUUCAUAAUUAGUUGGCAUGUUACGUUAUUGGAUUUCCUAUCGACAUUGCUGGGGUAUUAUUUUUUAUCUUUUUGUCAACACAUAGUUGGAGUAUUCAAAUUCUAUGUAUGCCUUUAUAUUCAGUUUAAUUUGCAUGAUUAUGAACUCAAGAUACGUUUUGGUUGAUCUUAAGAGACCACUCUGAUACAAUGUGUAACGCGUAUAUGAACAUGUGCUCAGAAUGCAUUUGCACUGGAUUAUAUUCUUUUACUAGGACCGGUCCGCCCUACGGGCGAGAAGUUAUAAUAAAAGUGAUUUUAUAAUAAUUUAUGAAGUAAUUUAAAAUUAUGAUAGAUUAAAUAAUAUUAUAAACGAAAAAAUAAUGAAAGACUUCUGAGAUCAUUAUAAUUAUUUUUUGUUUUGAAUUAUAAUGACAGUAAAUUUCACUAUUCUCUAAUAAAUAACAUUAUAUUUUUAAUAUUUAUUUUAAUUCAAAUGUUUCGUUUUAUAAUAUUUUUAAUUAAACUAACUUAUUUAAGGUUUUUUUUUUGCGAAUAUGAUUCAAAACUUGAAGUCAUUCCUAAAGUAAUUCAUGCUUCUUUUUUUGUGAUGUAAUUGUAUAUUCCCUUUGUAUGUAUGUUUUGUAAAAAUUUGUUAAGAGAAGUAUAUAAUAAUGUUUAUGGGUUUUGAAAAUUUUAGGGUGUCGAAGGAUUAUUUAUGUUAAGAUUAGUUAUAUUUGAGUUAAAAUGUUUUAAUGAGGGGGUUCAUUGAAUGAUUUAAUGUGAUAGUCAAUGAGGAUGCAUGAAUCCAACCGACUUCCAUAACGGUUCCAAAAUUCAACCAAGGGUAGAAGAAGUGGAAUCGAACAGCCAAAUACGACGCCUUCCAACUGACCUUGAUCAGAAUUCAGCGUGGCCGGUGCAGCAAAUCUUCAUUGGCCGUAGGUUUGAACCAGAGUUGUUAGCAGAUCUGUCUUUCGUUCGUCGACAUUAUUUUUGGAGAAGAAGCCGUCUCAUGUGGGAUCCCCUCAUGUGUUACUCUACAGCCCAGAAAUCCAAUUAUGUUAAGCGCAAAACACUGACCUGAAAUAUUUAUUAACAAAAAGAGAAAAACCCAUUAAUAAUUGUGAUUAAGUGAAACGGUGAGUAUCAUCCAACCCGGACACGUGUCGCCCUGUCAGGAACCGACUUUAUGACGUGGCAAAGCAGGAGUGAGGCGAACAUAUUUUUAUAUAUAUAUAGAUUUUACACAAGAAAUUAAAUUUUUAAUUGAUUAAAAACAAAUAGUUUAAGAUUUUAAUUUACAAGUUUACGAUAAUAUUGGCUAAAAUUUUGAAAAAAAAAUUGUACUCGGCACAAGGCCUAUAUAUUAUAUAGCCAGAGGUUUGGUCUACAUAGUGGUGUUUCUCAACCUAACAGAACUGAAAACCUAAUUAAGAUAAAAGUUCAACGUUUUCUUAAAAACUUUUUUUUCUUUUGAAAAAGCUAUGUUUGAUCCAAAAACAAAAGCUAUUACAUAAACAUUUUUAACUAUUUAUUAUUACGAUACAAUUUGUCAAAAGUUUACGAUUAUUUUAGUGGUGUAAUUUAGUGUUAAUAGUCUUAUUUUAUCGAAACUGUAAAUUGAUUUUAGUUACAAAAAAACUAAAAAUUGAUUUUUGCUAUACACGCAUUCUGAUGUGUACCACAAAAAAAAAGUUCAUAAAUUCAUAAUCGAAAUGAAUCUGAUUCCUUCGUCCACAAAGACACUGACAAUUAGUAAAGGUCUUUUUUUUUGGCACAUGUCUCCGGUCUGACCAUAUCAUUUGUCACCUCUCACUUAUUGCAUUUUCCCCACUCUCUAAAUAUCAAAAGUUAUAAGUUUAAUUGAAUGCACGUAAAAAUUAUUCAAUAUAAAAACAUAAUAAAUUCACUGAUAUGUUAAGUGUGUGGUAGGAGGAGUUUUUGUAUAUUCUAAUGGAAACUUAUAUUAUAUAUAUGUGAUUUUACGUUGUCUUUUUUUCUUUUUCUUUUUUGCAGCUUAUCCGGUUUUAAAGACCACACGUUUCUUGUUUAAAACCUCAAAAAUUGGUUAGAGCCUAGAGGAAGAGUUAGCUUUGUGUAGAAAAACCUCAGGAAUAUUGCAUUAAAAAUUAAAACUUGAAUCAUGGUCACAAGUCACGUAUAUCAAUAUGUCAUUUUCAUUCAGACGUUGGUUUGUCUAGCAUACGAAUUGAAAACUAUAAACUCAAGCUGAGUUACAAAAAAAACCGAAAAACUAGGGAGAUGGGGAAAAAAAGGAAGAAUGACGCUUUCGUUGCUCGCUGAAAAGGAGGAGAUAUCAUCUUCAGUUAUAAACCAAAGUUUGAUGGAAGCCGAUAUUCGAAGGUUCAUAUUCUUAUGUAUUUGUAUUUCCUAGCUUAUAUUGUAUCAGAGUUUCCUACUUAUGUAAUUCUCUAUAUAAAAUGCUCUUUAUUGUCUAGUAAAGAUACAAACUUUCCCCUUAUUUUCAUAACACGUUACCAGCACGAUAGCCUCUAGCCCUAAGCCCCCACGAAAUAUUCUUCAACUCAGUCGAAAAUCAUCAAACCCUAAACGCAAAAGAAUCUGCCUCGGAACUUCAAAGACUUCGUUCUCUCAACCCGUGAGGACCGAGAAAACGAUCAAGAUAUCAAAUCGAAGCCCUCGCCGAGACGAAUCCGUCAGUGCAAACCGCUUGUCGAUCUACCCUCACGGACGGAUACAGUGCGUGCCGAUUUGCUGUGGAAACCAAAUCCGAUUCCAACAAGGAUUUUCUAGCCGAACUCAACUCCUGUGCAAGAUAAGUUUAUCAUAUCUUAGUUGAUUCAUGUUAUCUUGUUGGCGUUCAUGUUAUCUAAUGCUCCUCGUGUUGUUUCAUGAGCCGAGGGAAUUAAAAUCUAAUAUCAACAAGGAGUUCAAGCCGAGAGGAGUUGCUGCCCGUGCGAUCAAACUCUCUUUUCCAUUCAGAUCAAAAGGAGUUCAUAGGUAAACUGUCUCAAACUUUAAAACUACUUAGAGGUCGAGUUUAAUUACAUUAAACUCGAACCAUACAAGAGAGAACUGAUCGCAUAUACCUUAAUAUGUGAUCAUAGAAAUCAAACCUAACCAACUAUGAAUACAUAAUUCGAUUUAUAUCCUUAUAAAUCAUAUAUUAUAUGUUGAAAACUUAGUAAAACAUGGUCAUAAAUUUUAAAUCUAAGAACUAAUCUAAACAUAAAAUCGCAUGACAUACAUGACAUGAAAAUCGAAUGUCAUGCUUAAAACCGAAAAUUGUAUAAACCUAUACUAUCUAAUAUGAUUCUAAUAAUUCUAAAACUUGAAUCAUAUACCUAAAACUAUAGUUUCAGAUCUGAUUAUGUCAAUAAUCAGAUCGCAUACUUGGUAUGCUUGAAAAACCGAUUCCUAAACAUCUAAAACCUAAUUUGCUUAAACCUAAAAAUCGCAUAGCUUUAAAAUUAAAACCCCCUUGAUGAAAACUUUCUAAAAUUGUUUUCACAUGCUGUUUAAAGCUUUUAAAAUCUGAUUGUUUGUUUAAAAAAAUCUGAUUGCAUGUUUUUAAAAUUAGAAAUCGCAUGCUAGGCAUAAAAUUUCAAUUAAGGCAUAAAAUUGCAAAUCGCAUGCUUAAUUGAAAUUUGAUUUAUUUGACCACCUAAUCACAUGCUAGGAUUAUUAAAACUUGAUUGUAUGAUCUGUUUGUUAAUAGAAAUUGCAUGUUUUAGGUUUGCAAAUCAUUUGCUAAACAUUAAAAUCAAAAUCGCAUGCUAGACAUAGAAAAUUAAAUCGCAUGUUUAAGUUUAAAAUCUGAUUUUGUUAAUCACAUGAUAGGAUUGAUAAAACCUAAUUGUUUGAUCCGAUCUCUAAUAGAUAUUACAUGUUUUAAUGUUAGAAAUCGAAACAUAAACAUUAAAACUGAAAUUGCAUGCUAAAAUCUAGAACCCUUAAAAAAAAAUAGGAAGGUUGUUACAAGGUUGUUACAAAGUUAUUAGGAUUUUUGUCUUAGCCGAUUUUAUGCUUGUAUAACUUGAUAUUUUUCAUGCAUAAAUACAUGUUUGAGGUUGUAUAAUUAAACUAAGAAUAAUUACAUGUUUUUGUGUCUAAAUCCUAUUAGAAUUAGGAUUUAAAAUUUAACCUAAAAUCUGAUCGCAUGCUUAUUGAAAUUUCUUGAAAAUUUAAAACUUAAUAAAUUUAAAUUAAAAUUCCAGAAUUUGAUCAUAUGAAACCUAGGGAUAAAAUUUCAUGAUUAGAUUGAAAUUAUUCAUAUGCUAAUUGAUUAAAAAUCGAUUAGACCUAGGAAAUUGAAAUCGCAUGAUUAAAUCCUAUUAGAAAUAGAAAUUGUCUUGAUCACAUGCUAUUGAUUGAAAUCUGAUUUGGUUGCUUGAUCACAUGAUAUGUUUAAAAUCUGAAUCGUAUGUCUUAACCAAAUCUAAUUCGCAUGCUUCAAACCCAAAAUCUGAUUUGUUUGAUCGCCUAGCUCGCAUGCUAAGAAAUUAAAAUUUGGAUUGAUUGUUAAAGAUAAAAUCCGAUUGCAUGCAGCAUGGAACCUAGAUUUAAUUUGCUCAGUCACAUGCUCACAUGAUCCAAAUCUGAUUUGCUAGUUGAUUACUUGAUUGAAAAUGAUGUCUUCCUUGUUUAAAACAUAGAGAUUGCAUGAAAUCCUAUUCGCAUGAUUACAAGCUUGUCCGUAGGAUCAAAACUUCAUCAUAUGCUAAACUUGAUUCGAUUACAUUGCCUGACCUAUAUAUGUUUUUUUUUAAACCUUGAAUCAUAUGCUGAAAAAUCUAGCAAAUCCGAAACACAUAACCAAAUCCUAAAACUGUUUGGAUUUGGCUUGGCCAAGACUAUACAUGUUCAUAUGAACAUUUGUAGGAUCGUUUCUCAAAGCCUUGGCCAAAUGAAAUCUUAGCCAAAUUUUAAGACAUGAUCACUUGUUUAAAACUUAAAAUCUGAUCAUAAAAUUACUCAUUGGCCGAAAUCUAUAAGAAUCCUAGAACCAUUCGGAUUUGGCCUGGCCGAAACUUAUGUUUGGCCUAAUGAACAAUCACAUGAUCUUUAAAGCCUUGGCCAAACGUAGAAGCUUGGCAUAGCUUAAAUCUUGAUCAAAUGCAAAGUCUAAAUUCUCUUGGACAACCUUUAAAAGACAUUGAUCGAAGGCAAAAGCUUGGCCAAAUUGAAAUUUCUAUUGGCGAAAUAUGAAAUCUAGUCAAAAUAAUAGAAUCUCUUGGCCAAAGCAUUUUGGUAAAAUCAUCUUGGCCGAAUCUCCUUGGCCAAAAAUUCUUUGGCCAAAGUCUUUUGAAUAAUCUAUCUUGGCCGAAUUUAAAUCCCUAUUAAUCUAAUCAGACUUAAUUUAUUUCUGGCUAUUUGUUGCACACUUUGAUUUAUUUAAUGCAUGAUGUUUUCAAAAUUAUUGUCUAAGGGAACAAAAUUUGAUAUUAAAUUACCUAAGUUUGGGAUUCAAUACGAGAUAAAUGAACAUUAAGUGUUAUUAUCUCGAGGGGGAGAAUCAGAGAAUCCCAAAAACCCUAAAUAAGUUAAGCAUCCACGACAACAAUAGCCUAAAUAGAACUCGGCCAAAACCAAAUCUGAAAAUAAAAUUGCACAACAGAAAGAUUAUAUGGAGAUUAAUGAUUGGCAAACCGGUCAUGCCAUUCCGGUUAAGUAUGCGACAUUCUAUUGAAUGGUUUAAGAUAUGCUGCCCCUUUGAAUAAGGGAAUUGAUAAUAUGAGUAUUCACCAUGAUAUUUCGAAAAUAAGCAAGGAAUUUCGUGGGCUUGAUCACCCACGGAUGGACUGAUCAUCCAUCAUAUGUGACGACAUAUGGUUGUACAUAUCCUUGUCAAAAUCUGCAAUAAGUUUGCAAGAGUAAUUGGUGAUACCGGUGGAUUUAUGAAUCCUUAUAAGUUGCAGCAAAAUUUGUUCGCAUAAUGCCAAAAAACAAAUAGAGACUCUCCCAUGAAUUUGAUAAAGGGUCAAGAAUUAAUGUUCCAUAUAGAGAACUUAAAUAAGUUGUUCCACCACAAAGCUAAGUUAUAAGAUGAGAUCUGAAAUUGAAUUAAGUGUAUACGUUGGAUAUAAAUCUUCAUAAGAAUACAUAAGGCCACAAGAGAUAUGAUUAAGGCUAAGCCAUGGAUUAGAUAAAUCCGUAUAUCCAACAUCAGGAAGAGAAAUAAUAAGCUGGUAAACGAUUUUGAGAAUGAAUAAUGAUCCUCAAAUAUGAAUAUAGAAUAAGAGUCCAAAGAAUGAAUCAUUCUCAGAACUUAAAUAAGUCAAUUGCCAGACAUGUUUGAUGACCCAAACUGAAAUAUACCAGCGGGUUACGCUCUAAUAAAAUUGAUAUUGGACUUAGUUAAGAUAAGACGGUUCCAUACAUGUAUUAAUCGAAAAUGAGAAGAGCAUAAAAUUGAAAUGGCAGAUCCGAAAUUAAGGUUUUCCAAAGGAAACCUUAGACAUGACCAUGAAUAAAGAUCAGGUACCUGAAAAUAAUAAGAUCUAAAUGCAUUAUGUCAUAUCUGGAUUAUAAAUGGAACCGGUAAAAUAAUAUCGACGUCGAUGAUGAUAUAAUAUUUGAAUACAAAAGCACUUGACAAAAGCGAAGAUCAUGAAACCAACGUCUAUCAAGAGUGCACUUGCCAGACAUGUUUGAUGACCCAAACUGAAAUAUACCAGCGGGUUACGCUCUAAUAAAAUUGAUAUUGGACUUAGUUAAGAUAAGACGUUUCAUACAUGUAUUAAUCGAAAAUGAGAAGAGCAUAAAAUUGAAAUGGCAGAUCCGAAAUUAAGGUUUUCCAAAGGAAACCUUAGACAUGACCAUGAAUAAAGAUCAGGUACCUGAAAAUAAUAAGAUCUAAAUGCAUUAUGUCAUAUCUGGAUUAUAAAUGGAACCGGUAAAAUAAUAUCGACGUCGAUGAUGAUAUAAUAUUUGAAUACAAAAGCACUUGACAAAAGCGAAGAUCAUGAAACCAACGUCUAUCAAGAGUGCACUUAGAGAAAUUACUCAGAGAAAUUGAUUAAGCAAAUUGAUAAUGCUAUAAGACGUGGUAUAUGAAAUCUCUUAAGAGAAGAGAUGUAGUCAAACCAGUUGGACAUAAGUAAGUCUUUCGUGAGAAAACAUAAUAAGAAUGGCGAAAUUGCAUAAGGUUCUCACAAAGACCUGAGAUCAAUUAUAAAAGAGACAUACUCCUAUGUGGUGGAUGCAACGACAUUCUGAUUCCUUAUAAGUCUGGCAAAUAAAAUACAUAUCUAUAUGGUCCACUGGAUAACAAAAUUUAUGUGAAAGUUCUAGAGGGUAUCGAACUACCGAACACAUCAAGUUCUCGAGAACAAUAUUGAAUAUCUUUAUGUGAACGACUUGAAUAUCUUAGGAACCUCUGGAGAAAUUUUUCAAAGAUAGAAUACAUCAAGAAAGAAUUCGAAUUCAACAUGAAAGGUUUUGGGAAAACAAGAUUAUAUAUUAGAUUAUACAUUGAGCACCUUGAAAAGAAAAUCUUUAUGCAUCAAAUGACAUACAUAGAUAACGUGCUCAAGAAGUUUGAUAUGGACUAAGCUUACGAAUUGACAAGUCCCAUAAUUAUAAGAUUUCUCAGUUUAGAAAAGAUAAUUUCGGCCCUAAUGAAGAAAAUGAGGAGAUCUUUGGUCCCGAAAUGCCAUGUCUAAGUGCCAUAAAGUUUUGACGGAUUUGGCGAGCCAUACAAGGCUAGAUAAAUAUUUUGCCGUAAUCUAUUAGCUAGAUAUAUCUCAUGAUCGACCCAAAGGCACUAGAACGGGAUUAUACAUAGUUUUGUUACCUACAAGGAACUAAAGACUUAGGUCCAUUUGAUACUAACCUACCCGAAGAAAGGUAAAUUAUUUUGGUGAUACAGGUUGUUUGUCCGUCCAAGUUCACUCAAGCGAGGAUUUGGUGGAUCUAAUUACUAAAGCGUUACUGACUUCCAGAGAUGUACUCAAUAGGGGGAGUAAUACGUGUUGUACUCUUUUUCCUUCACCAUGGUUUUAUCCCAUUGGGUUUUCCUUGUAAGGUUUUAAUGAGGCAACAUCCAAAGCGUAUUAUAAACCACUUCGGAGAUGGUCUUCCAAGAGGAAGUGUUAUAAACCAAGGUAUGGUGGAAGCCCAUAUUCGAAGGUCCAUAUUCUUAUGUAUUUGUAUUUUCUAGUUCAUAUUGUAUUAGAGUUUCAUACUUAUACUUAUGUAAUUUCCUAUAUAAAAGGCUAUUUAUUGUCUAAUAAAGAUAAAGAUUUUCUCCAUAUUUACGUAACGUCUUCAUCUUUGUUUUUGACACUUCUCCUUUUUUCACUUCUCAAUCAAGCUUAUUUAUUUAAUUCCGUUUUCCUUUAUCGUUCUCAAAUUACAUAUAAACGAAAAAGGAAUGAAAACAAUUCCACAAACGUCACAAUUCUAAAGCCUUUGUCAAAAAGUCACCAUUCUUUUUAUGUGUAGUUUGAUGGUUCUACGUAAAUAUCAUGACCGGUACGUUUUCUAACUUUACUGAUCAUUAAACAUACAUUCAUAGAAAAAAUAAGAAACAAGUAGGUUCUUCAUAACCUUUUUUUUUUGUUAAAAAAAACCUUUAAGAUUAAACCAAAUUGUUCCGGGUACGAAGCUGUCUUUCUUUAGAGUAUCUCCAAAAGACACUCUAUAACUUCAAAUAUGAAGUUUUUUUCUCUCCAAAAAAGAAAUUUGAAGUUUUGAGGAGUGAAACUCUAUAUUUGAAGUUUCACUAGUCAAAACUUCAAAUUUGAAGUUUCAUAUUUUUAUUUGCAUUUUGAUCCCUACAAUUACACAUCACAUUUAUGAUUCAUAAAUAUUUUCUUGUUUAUUGUUUUAAUCUUUAUAAAAAUUAUAUCUCAUAAAUAUUUUAAGUUUUCUUUACAACAUUUAAGUUUACACAUAAAAUUGAAUAAAACUUUAAAAUAAGAUUUAAAAUAUUUAAAACUAGAUUUAAAUAAUAAAAAUAUAUAAAAGAAACUUAACAAAUUUUUUAAAAAAAAAUUACAUGAAGACAUAACUAUUACACAUAUUUAAAUAUUACAACAACACUAAUAGUCAUGUAAGUUUGAUCUGGAACCUUCAAAAUUUCCAAAUAUUGUCCAAUUUCUUUUGUGUAACUGAAGAUGGUUGUUGUUGUUCUUGUUGUUGAUGAUGUCUUUUCGUACAAUUAUUUCUUGUUCAUAUGGAAUAUAUUCAUGAGUAUUAAUAUCAUCGAUAAAAUUUAGUCUUUUAGCAAUAUUUUAUGUUUUUCUUUUACUUUCUUGUUCUGAUCUAAUGUAUUUACAAGUAUUAAUAUCAUCUGAUUUCAACAAUUUUUAUCUCAAAUUUACAAAUUAAAAAUGAGGAGAACCAUUUUUACUUCGAAAUGCACUAGUAGAUCAUAUAUGCAUUACGAAAAUCACUUUAUGGAAUAAUAUAGUAUUUUGCUUGAAGUUUAAUAUUAAUUAAGUUAUUUUGUUUAAAAUUUUUAUAUUUUUAUAUAAUAUUUUAUUAAUUAUUAUUGUUGUACUAUGUUUAUAUACGUGCUAGUUAUUUACAAAUUUUUUAUGAAUUUAAAUUAGUUAUGAAAAAUAUAAGGACCAUAUUAUAAAAUACAAAUAGUUUUGAAGUGGAGUUUGAAGUUUUGCUUUUGGAGAAAAACACAUUUAAACUUCAAAUAUAGAGUUUUAGAAACUUCAAAAUAGAAAUUUUUUUUGCAGAUUUUCUUGUAAUACAGUAGUAACGAGCAUUAACUGGUCAGUGAACUUUUUUUUUCGUUAGAACUAGACCUAGAAAACUAUUACUAUUAUCCGAUAAUUAAUUGUAGAUGUUGACAAAAGAAUAACUGAAGAAAUCGGAUGAUAACGUUUCUUCAAAAUACAAAUAAAUCUAGAACGGGGUUGUUAAAAAUAUGUCACACACGUGACAUACCUUAAUCUAUGUAACAUUUUAUAAUAACGAUGACUAUCGAUCCAGCUAUCAAAUACUAGAUUUCUUUAUUAUUCGAGAUUGAGAAUCACAUUAUAUAGUUUUUAUAUAAUAUUCUCACCGUCUGGUUAUCGUAAACCUUGAAAUCAAUCUGAACAUUAAGCUGGAAACCCCUCUCAGGAAUUAUUUAUGCCAUGCCAUAAAUUAUUAUUUAUAACUCGACACAAUUCAUAAAUUGUAUAGAGUAUAAAAACGUAAACAGUACCCAACUAUAUAAGAAUAUGUAAGUCAGAACAGACAAUUAUUACUCAUUGACUAUCCCAACUAUAAGAAGAAUAUGCAAUAAACUAAGUGACCAUAUACCAAAGUCCCAUCCACAACCAAAUCGACAAAUGUAUAUGCAUGUGUGUAUAUAUAUAUAUAUAAUAAUUAAUAUGUAUAUAUGUUUUUACUAUACAAGUUAAACAUUUUCCUUCUCAAUUAAUCAUUUUCACAAACGCAAAUUUGAGCUGAAAUUGAUCACUAUAACACGUAAGUUACAUUUGCAAAAUGAAAAGCUAUCGAGAGAAAAACAGAAAAACGUGAAAUGUAAAAAGAACCAGGGUUUAAUUCAUAGUAAAUGAUUAUUCGCUUCGAUCAAAAUCUUGAAACUUUUUGUGUGGAAUAUCUUUUUUAAUAAAAUAACUUUUUCAUUUUUUUUAUACUAUUAGAUAUUUUACAAAAUCUGUUUAAUACUCUCUCCCUCUGUAUCGCUUUAAGUGGUUUUGGUUUUUAAGGUUUCUGCACAUAAAUUAAGAAAACACAAAAUUUUAUAUAAUUUAUCUUGGUUACAUAAAAAUAUUAUUAAAUGAAACUAAUUCAACCAAUAAAAAAAAUCUCAAUAUUUUGUAAUUGGUCAUAUAGUUCAAAUGAUAUUAAAUUCUAUAUAGAAUAAAAAGAACAUCAAUUAUUUUGAAACAAAAUUUUUUUCUCUAAACACCAGUUAAUGUGAUACAGAAGGAUCAGUUAAAGUGAUACAGAGGGGGGAGAAAGCCAUAAAUUGAUUUCGUUGAUCCUCUAAAAUGAGCUGCCAAACGAAAAUUAACCUUCAAAUUCUACCUAAAUAUAUACAUUCUUUUUGUUGAUUAACUUAUAUGAAAAGCUUUAUUUCCCCUCCAACUGAUGAUAUAUUACCAUAACUGGAUAAAUUUCAGUUAAAAAGUUAAUAUGCUCUCAUUUCAUAAAUACUAAAAUAAUUACAAAUCAUAUUGAAAUGUUAUAAUAAGAAUAAAAUCUCUUGACUGGGAAAAGAAGCAAAGAAAUUUCUCUUCCACUAUAUAUGCGCUUGACAUAUGUGACAAAGACCCCCAAAGAAUAAAAUCACAGAGCACUCAGCGGAAGAAAACUCAUUAAAUCUCCGGCAAAACUCCAGCGUAAUCUAUGGCGGAGGAGAAUCAAGAUCACACCCUAGAAUUGAAACCAAGAAGAAAACAACCACACUUUGUGCUAAUACACGGCAUGAGCUUAGGAUCAUGGUGCUGGUACAAAAUCAAAUGUCUCAUGGAAGUCUCUGGCUACACAGUCACUUGCAUCGACCUCAAAUCCUCCGGCAUCGAUCCUUCCUCUGCCGAUACUCUAACUUCCUUCGACCAAUACAACCAACCACUCAUCGACUUCCUCUCAUCCUUACCAGAAAAAGAACAGGCCAGACACACGCACACAGAAAACCCUAAUUGUAACUGAUUCUUGUACCUGAAGUAAACUUACUCUGCCUUCUCUGUUCUGUUUUUGUCAUCAGGUGAUACUUGUGGGUCACAGUGCAGGAGGGCUUAGUGUAACGAGCUCGAUCCAGAGAUUCCCUAGGAAGAUCUGUCUGGCUGUUUAUAUCGCAGCCACAAUGCUCAGAUUCGGGUUUCAGACAACUGAAGAUUUGAAAGAUGUAACAAAAGAGAAAAAAUAUUAUUUCAAAUGAAGGUAACUUGUGUGUGACGUUAUGUUGUUUUGUCACAGGGAGUGCCUGACCUAUCAGAACAUGGUGAUGUCUAUGAGCUCGGUUUCGGUUUAGGACCGGAGAAUCCUCCUACUAGUGCCCUUAUCAAACCUGAGUUCAGACGAAAGCUCCUUUACCACAUGACUCCUCAACAGGUUUCUCUAAGUUUCAUUUCCUAUAAAAGCUCAAGAUCCAAAAGUGUUAUCCUAAUGAUAUGUGAUUGUUCUUGUGAAUGUUAAGGAGUGUGUAUUGGCUGCGUUAAUGAUGAGACCAGCUCCGCUUCUGGCGCUCACAACUGCGAAAAUGGAAGAGGGAAAAGGAAAAGAAGAGGAGGAGGAGCUGGUACCGCGCGUGUACAUCAAGACAUUGCACGACCGGGUGAUGAAACCGGCGCAGCAGGAGGCGAUGAUGAAACGGUGGCCACCGAGACAAGCUUAUGAAGUGGACAGUGACCAUUCACCUUUCUUCUCUAACCCUUUUGUUCUCUGCGGUUUACUCAUUAAAGCUGCCGUUUCUGUGGGUUCUAUCUAAAGCACAAAGGAUUAUGCGUGUGUAUUGUUGUUGUAGUUGUGUUGUGUGUGGUUGAUUGAGAUACCGGUUAAGUGAUCGGUUUAUGGUUCUAGUGGAGAUGGUAUUUAAUAAAAAACAAAAUUGUUUAAUUUAUUUUAGUUUAUAACUUUAUACUACCUUUUGACUCGCGCGCCCACGCGGGUUUUGUCUUUCAUAAUUAUAUGUUUUUAUUUUUUGACAAUACCAUAAAUUUAAUUGCUUAAAUUCUUGUUAUGAAUCAGUUAUUAAAUUUGACAUUGAUGUGUCUUGUUCAAUGUGUUUAACCUCUAUUUAUAAAUUAUGAGAUUGUUUUUUCAUAGUGCUUAUAUUCAUUUUAUUUGGUAAAAUAAACAUUAAAGUGUCAAAUAUUAGAGUUUUAAUUAUACUUGUGUGUUUUUAUUUAAUUAUACUAUAAAUAUUUUGAUGUAAAGUUGAAUACAAAGUUCAAAUUUGAAAUAGAGAUUUUUUAAAAACAAAUACAUUAUUUAGACAGAAACAUAAAUAAAAUAGUAAAAAGUUUUAUUUUCCAUAAUUAUAUGUUUUUUAAUUUUUGACAAUGCCAUAAACUUAAUUGUUUAAAUUCUUGUUAUAGAUUCAUAGGUUAUUAAGUUUUGACAUUGGUGUGUCUUGUUCAAUGUGUUUAACCUCCAUAUAUAAACUAUGAGAUUGUUUUUUUAUUGUGCUCAUAUUCAUUUUAUUUGUUAAAAUGAACAUUAAAAUGUCAAAUAUUAGAGUUUUAAUUAUACUUGUGAUUUUUUAUUUAAUUAUACUAUAAAUAUUUUGAUGUAAAGUUGAAUAUAAAGUUCAAAUUUGAAACAGAGAUUUUUUAAAAACAAAUACAUUACUUAGACAGAAACAUAAAUAAAACAGUAAAAAGCAAGUUACCAGAAAAAACAUUCAAAAAUAAGUACAGCUUGUUGAAAAUUUAAUUAGCAAGCCUAAUUUAAUUAAGUGUUGGGACAUUUUGUUAUGAUUAAAAUUUUAGUACAUCAUAAUUUAUGAUUACUUCGUGGAUGGUUAUAUAAUAGAUCCAAGCCCAUAUAUUAUUUUUCUGGGAAAAAAAAAUAGAAACAUAUUUCUUUUUGUGAGGAGAAUGACGUGAUUUUUGGUUUUUCUUUUUGUUUUUUUUUUACCGGCAAUAGAAGUUUUAUUAAUGUGUUGGGUCAAUUAUACCACAACUGGACUAAGGCCCAAAACGAAAAGACAAAUACAUUCAUGUCUUCGUGACUCGUGAGGAAGCAAGUUGGACACGUCACCCACCGCUUCGAACAGUCUUCGACUCCGACGAUCACCACCGUCAAUGUCCACCGUUCAAAUCUCAUGCAUCUGAAUAUUGACCCAAAACUCCGGUCGUUUCACCUUUGCCGCCUUAAUCUUCCUCUUCAUCGGUUAUGCCCAGCUGCUAGAGAAGCGUAACCCUUUUUCAUCGAAAAAUCACCGCGAGGAUAUUAAGACCGCCCACUCAGGACUGACGGCAAAAAAAUAUUGCUAAUAAUACUCCCUAGAAACAGAAGAAAUUCACCCAAAAAAAAGUAAGAGAAGGAAUAAAAUCAAUUGAAACCGGUGAGACGCCAUUAAAUCCAAUCUAAGAUCGGAACUGAAAAUCAGUCUUAACCGAGAGUAAUAUAUUUACAAACAAAACCCAUCCCGAAAGACUGAAACUUUAGUAAAAUAACUUCAACUUUAUUUAAUCUUCAACCGAUGAAAGAAAUAUAAACUUGAAAGAACUUAUAUCGGAAUAUUGAAAAUCACAACAUAAAGUCUCAUAGAUUGAAAUAUAAAACAAUUAAAAACAAAACAGUCCGGCUAUGGUCGGAGAAAUUCCGAUGUGCCAGAAAUCACUCUCUCUUGUAAAGAUAAAUAUGUGAUCAGAGAGAAAGAUGCAACUCGUGUGAUUUGAUUUUAGGUUUAAGAUACACGUAAUUUAAGGUGAAGUAACGUCAAUUUAUUUUAGUUGGGUUAGGAAAAGUCUAAAACGACAGUUUAGAUAGGUAGGUCUUAGUAAUUAUUUAUGAAAACCCAGGGCUAAGUAAUAUACUCCAAUUUUAAUAGUUUAGACGACAAAACGCUUGUACACGCCCUUGAUCCAAAAAAACGCCUGAACGCCUCUGUAUCUUCUACUAUAGCUGGUGGAACCAAUAGCGUAAGCUUUUGUACUGUCUAGCCAACACGUAUACGUGCAUAAAGCUUCUCAGUUUGGUUAACACAGAAAACUCUUGUAUUUCUUCUCGAAUCACUGAAGAAGCGGACGAACUGGAAUGUGGAGUCAACUGUUGAGAUAAGAGCCAUGCACAUAAUGUUCACUAAACUCAACAGUUGUACAGUAGUAUUCUCCACAUUGAUAUUGGCAUAGUAACACCAUAACAAAAUAAACUCCACACUUGUACUGUUGGUAUUCUACACGUUGUUUUCUUCUUCUACUUUGGUGUGUGGAGUUUAUUUUGUUAUGGUGUUAAUAUGCCAACAUCAAUGUGGAGAAUACCACAGUACAAGUGUAGAAGACAUGAAAAUGAAGUCUCGAUGCGAAGUAAACAUUUGUCUCUUAGCAUAUUCACUAGUUGGAUUUUUAACUUUAAAGGGAGCAUAGCCGUUUUUACUUAAGGAACAUUAGAGAAUACGAUUUAAUUCAAUUCAAUUCAAGAAAGAUGCACACCAACAGUGAUUGUCAUAAAAUCUAGACAUUUAUUUUGGCAAUAAAGAGUUUCAGAAAAUCACUGACGCGGAAGAUUUGGCUUCCACACUUGAUGGUUCAGAACCUGUGCUCGAGUUUCUCCUGUUCCUGGAAGUGCUGAGCAUACCUACAUUCAUUCAUGUAUUUGAAGAUUAAGCAUAUACUUUUCUAUCUCAGCUCUGUACUAAACUUAAUUAUAUUCUCAGUUUUUUUUUUAACGAAUAUUCAGUUUCAAAAUCUAAUAAAUACUCUUCAUCAGCUACCUACAUACAAGCACCAAUAACACAAAAACGUAAAACUAGUAGUACAACAACCAGAUUCGAAGAACAAUCAAUCACCAGAAUCAUUGAUAACGAUUCGAGAAGAGAGAGAGAGAGAGAGAGAGAGAGAGAGAGAGAGAGAGAGUUACCAGUAGGUUCCGAGGACAGGAGUGACGAGGAGAGUGGCGCUGAUCCAAUUCUCCGAGACCUUGUGGUGGAUCUUCUCCGGGAGAUCCUUCCAGAGUCCAGUCAUUAUCUUCUGCUGAAACGGCGAUAGCGCGUAUACCACCGCCUUCAACUUCACCGGCUGCUUCCCCAUCCUCUUCUCUUCCCCCCCAACGAGACGACGACGAAUCUCCCACAAAAACACCUGAAUUGACCUAAAAAAAUAAAUAAAACAAAUCUCAACGAACCGUACGUUUUCAAUUCGAUUUUGGUACGGUUGCAGUUACGAUUUAAACCGGAUGACCUGGGUCAACAUUUUUAUCUUUGAUUCGGUUUGUGUAAACCGAAUUGGAUAACCACAAACCUGGUGAGUUAGUCUGUUUUAAGUUAACAACAGCAGCAACUUGGGCUCAAACUACAUGGCCCAAAUUUGAGUGAUUCUUGAUAUUAGUGGACGCUUGUUAAUAUUUGCUAUUUAUGUUAGUUUCUAAUUUUGGAUGUACUUGAGUUUUAAUAAACUUUUAGAUUAUUUAAGGUGAGUUAUAAAAGUUAUUAUGAUUUUAUUAUAAAAUAUAUAUGCCCUAAACUAUAAGAUUUGAAUCUUUUUAUUUCUAAAUAAGAAUUUAUCAAAACACUUUGCAAUCACUAAAAACUACUAAAAAAAAAGAUUAAUCAUUGGUGAAUUUGAAUGGAUCAUUCUUGUAGAAAUAGAUAAUUUCUUUAUUAACAAUAGUCACUGCCAAGAAUUUAACUUGAAUCUUAUAGAAUAUUAUCCAUUGGGUGAGGGUAGUUGAAACUCUUCAACACACUAAUCUGUCGGUGGUCUCACCCACACGACCAAACCCUUUAAACAUUUCUUUCUCACUUUCCCACAAUAGUAUUAUUAUCAAUAUCAUAAUUAAUACUAUAAAUCCAAAUUAAUUAAAUUUAAGAAACUAUAGGAGAACUAAUAAUAAACGCAAAUAAAUAAUCGGAAAAUCGACAAAAUUCACUUCACUUCUUCUCGGCUGUGUGAGGAGGAAUUAGAGAAGAAAAAAACCGAUCCGAUUCGAUUCCACAACCUUCAAAUUCGAUAUUUGGUUAGCUCUCGUUCUCAAUCUGGUGAAUUAGGGUUUCUGUUGAAGCUGAACGAUGAUGGGUGUACCCACCGGAUUAGAAGGUGGGGCUUCUCUCUUUUGCUGAAACCUUAAGCUGGUUCUUUCGCCCAUGGGUAAACCCGAGGAUGACGGCAACAGCCUCCGCGCCGGAGGAGAAGCUCUCGGCGAUUCCGCGGAGAGGAGGAGGAAUGCUCCUCCUCGUCGUCGUCUUCGUUGUUGUUGUGGGUGUUUCGAAUGGAUCUCGGGGCUUGUUGGGUGUAAAUGCCUCUUCGUGCUGCUUCUCUCCGUCUCCUUGUUUCUCUCCGCUUUGUUUUUGUUGCUUCCUUUUGGCGCCGUGGAUCGUGGGGGUUCGAGUCUCGAUCCCAGAUUUAAAGGUUAUUCCCUUUUUUCUUCUAGCUUUGUAUUGAUAAAAGUUUCCUGUUUUGGCAUUGAAUCUACUCUUUGAUUGAGUCUUGUGUUUACUCUCUGUGUAGUAAUGAAAUUGGUAAUCUUUUAUUACAAAAGCUAUUUUGGGAACGAGGUUUGACUGGGAAUGAAUCUUUGCUAUUGUUAACUAGGGUCAGAGAAGAGUCAAAGCUGUUUAUCAUCUGCAUAGCUUAGAGAGUUCCAUGUUUGUGUACAUUGUAAGUAGAAGCUUUAUAGUUAUUGACAUAGUAGUGAUGCUUGUUCUUUCGUUUGGUCUUGACUUUCACUCUAGAUACAUGUUGAUUCUACGUUACUGAUGAACAUAAGACAUCUUCUUACAGCUAGGACAUAUGAGAUAAUAAACCAAUGCUGAUUUUUAAGUUCUUAGUGCUCCAUUUUCAUGUCAUGAAUAUGGUUAUUGGUUUCCUUAUUGUUGAUUCUUUCUCACACUUACAAUAUACUUUCACUAUUGAUGCAGGUCAUGCUGUAGUAGCGAGUUUUAGCCUCAAUAGACCAAAAUCUUUUCUUAAUGAACAUCUCGCGCAGCUUCAGGACGACAUCUUCCAAGAGAUGAGCUACAUUUCCAUCAACGUAUGUUUCAUCCUUUUAUCCUAGUUAUGAUCUCAGUUUCUCUUCUGAUACAUCUUGGUUCAAAUGACUUCAACAGGUAACUAUCCUAGCCCUCGAGUCACACGGACUGAACACAACAAAGGUUGUGUUUGGAAUCGACCACGAUACAGCAUACCGAGAGAUAUUUCCUCUCUCUUUGAGUACUAUCAAGGGGAUGUUCGAAUCGGUGCUGAUAAACCAAUCCACUCUUCAGCUUACCAAACCCCUGUUUGGGGACACUUUCCUUUUCGAAGUUCUAAAGUUUCCAGGAGGAAUCACUGUGAUUCCACCUCAAAGUGCGUUCCCGCUGCAGAAGUUCAAGCUUUCUUUCAACUUUACGCUAAACUACUCCAUUCAUCGGAUCCAGAUAAACUUCAAUACCCUUGCUAUUCAACUCAAGAAUGGCCUGAAUCUCGCACCAUACGAGGUUUGUCACAAUAUGCAUAUGCUUUAGUAAGUGUUAAUGUGUUGAGUUAGAUUGUUCUUACAAGGAUUAUGUUUGAAUGCAGAAUCUGUAUGUAACCUUAUCAAACGCAGAGGGUUCCACCGUGUAUCCCCCUACGACUGUUCACUCAUCUGUUUUGCUGAGAGUCGGGACUUCAAAUCCAAGCCCAAGACUGAAGCAGCUGACUGAUACCAUCACGGGCUCACGCUCGAAGAACCUUGGCCUGAACAAUACCAUAUUUGGUAAGGUCAAGCAAGUUCGUCUGUCAUCUUUGCCAAACAACAGUGAUAGCAGCACCAACUCUCCAUCACCUUCACCUUCCCCUCAUCACCACCAUCACCAUCAUCAUCACCAUCAUCAUCACCACAACCAUCAUCACCACCAUCACCACCACCACCACCAUCAUCAUCAUCAGCUUAGCCCAAGUAUAGCUCCUGCUAUUUCACCUGUGGCCUCUCCUGUCCCUCAGAAAAGUCCUAGAAUUAGAAGAGCUCCAUCUGCACCUCCGCCCUGCAACUCAGGGAAUAGAAGAGGACAAAGAGUACAUUUCAAGGAUAAACAUUUGCAUUUCUCAUCUACACCUACUCCCACGCCUUCUCCUUCCCCUCCAUCACAUCGUCCUCCUCGCUAUUCUGCUCAGCCACCACACGCAUCACAUCAUUCUCCUCGCUAUUCUGCUCGACCACCACAUCAUCAGCUGCACUCACCGGCCCCUAUUCCUGCAGCCAAGCCUCAUAUAGUUCCAGUCUCUGCCCCUCUACCUCAUGUGGUGUUUGCCAAUGCAGCUCCACCACCGAAAACCAAACCAAGUGAACCGCAGCACGCAAACGAAGUUUCUCAUCCUCAACCGCAGACAUCUUCAUGUAAGUUUCUUACUUAAACAAUCAUCCAAUUUUGCAAAGAGAUAUCAAAUCAUAAAAGCCCUUUUCUUUCUGUCUUUGGCUGCAGCUAAUUUGAACUUACCAGCUACGCCAUGGAUUGUUCUACUCAUGCUGAUAGCGGCUUGGCUUCGUGAAUAAUGACAGUAACAUGUCUAGUACAUCGUAUCAGAACCUCCUCCUCCUCUCCCUCAACCGGAUACUCAAAACUUAAGUGUAUAAAAAAUGAAUUCAUAUGGAGACUAGAGUUGUUGUUAUAGAAUGUUGCUGCACAAAAGUGUGCAGCCUUCUACUUAAUUCUCUAAGAGCUUUUUGUAUAUUAUGCUUCUGAAAGAAAAAGCAAGAAUUUUCACUUUGUUCUUUUCUUUAAAAUUAAAGACCAAACUUUAAAAACCCUGAGUUUUACAACACAGGGAAAAAAGUCACAAAGGUGUUUUUUGUAUAUAUAACAAGUCAAUGGUCCGUCUACUUUUGGGUCAAGAUGAGUAAAAAAAACGAGCUAUGUCGGAUUCAGGUAGCCACAAGAUGGAGACCUGACCGGGGAAGAACGCAUGAGUAGGUAACGUACUUGACACUGUCUAGAAGCACCACCACGAAGAUCCGGGAAAGUGAUUUCGGGUUUGAGGGCAUGACUCUAUCGGUUUCAGAGUCAACGACCUCCCUUGGAUCAAGCAACACUGAAACAACCAUUGAUGAUGAUGUGGGUUUGGUAUUAGCUUUCCCAUGAAAGCUCUUGUUUUGGGCGUCUUUGCUCGCCUGGGCUUCCGUGAUGUUAAGCUCAGAUGCCAAACGUGAAACCGGAAGCCCCUCGAGAAUCCUCCUGUUCUUCAUUCUCUUGUCUCGGGUGGUGGUGACAUUCUGGAGAUGCUCCCUUGUAAUGUUGGAGACUGAUGAUGGGACGAUAGCACCUGGAGAAAUAUCGAACUGGAAGACCUCGGUGCACAUGCUGUAAUCCAUUAGUGUCCCUACAAUAGAUGCAGUCAAUUGUUAGCUCUAAGAUCAUUCCAUUUAGUAGAACAAACUACAAGAAGAGCACCAGAAUUACCUGCGCCACCUUCAUGAAACCACUGGUGAAGUCUUUUCCCAUCAGGCGAACCAGAAGAGAGAGCCUUGGAAGAAUGUGGAAGCAUUGCCCCAUUUCCUCUCACAUCAGGGACAGCUAAUGCAGAAGACAGAGUACCAGGAACCGUCAACUCAGGUUCUUCGCUUUUUAUUGUCUCAGACACAUUCUUCUUAGCUUUCUCGCUAGCCAAAACAGAAUGAAUGAUCAAGUUCCCAUCGAUCUUCACAAGCCCAUCGUUCCUUGGAACGUAGAGAGAAGCAAAGAGAGGCUCACUGGAAUUGCUCACUCUUCCUUCUACUCCCCCACAACUAUCUCUACUAGAAUGGACACUUCCUCUUCUAACAUCAGACCCAUCGCCAACCAUAAGAACCUUCCCUCUGUGCUCAUCAUAAUACCUACGACCCUCAUACUUAGCCAAACCACUAUCUCCUCCAUUGUCAACAUUCAUAAACGGAACCAACGUACCAAACACGAAUAUAAAGAACAGAAUCCCAAUAAAACUGAUACUAGCAACCUUCUUGAGCUUGCUUCUCCCCUCUCCCUUCUUCGGUCUACUACAACUCGGGAGAGGCAAUUUAGGAACCAAUGGAAUCUGUGAUCCAUAAGGAUACGGCGGAGGAUACGGCAUCCACUGAUAAGGUAAAGGCGGUGCAGCCAUGUAAGGAUUCAUAGGAGCAGGAGCACCAGAAGCAGCCAUCAUCUGCUGCCUUAACGCUGCAUUCUCAGCCAUAACGUAAGAUAUUUUCCCGUUCAAUUCAGCAAUGGUGGAGUUCAUGCUCUUCACUUUCCCUUGAAGCUCCUCAACGUAUUGCUUCUUCCUUAAUCUCGAAAGCUGAGCGCUCUCACGGUUCCUUAUCAGCCUCACCUUCUUCUUCUCAUCGUCCUCUCCCACAGGAGUUGCUGAUUUCUCAUCAGACUUUUGAUACUUGAAGCUCCUGUAAUCUCCUCCAGAGUCUCCCUUCUUCCUCUUGCUCUUGCUCACAGAAGACUUCUCAGGGGAGGAUGACGUGUCGCAACCGCCUGACGCCAAAGUCUUCGAGCCUUGCGACGAGACCUGAGAAUGAACAGAGUCAGAUCGAUCUUCUAAACCUCUAUCGACGUUCUUCGUCUCCGGUGAAUCCAUAUUCGCAUGGUUCGCGUUCGAUUCUGUGAUUGCCACCGGGUGAUCCGCGUCGAGGUCGAAAUCGAAGAAAUCGACAGAAUCGUCAAACGAGAAAUCCAAAUCCGCGAAGUCUCCGUUCUCGUCGUCGAGGAAGAAGCUUAGAUCGGAAAUCGGAUCGGAAGCAGAGAGGAAGAGAGGAUCUAGCGGCGGGACUGAGAUCAUAUCGGGAUCUGCUAGCGUAUUAGGGUUCAGAUCAGGUAUCUCCGGUGGGUUAGCGAUUGAGAAUGUGGACUCCGUCAUCACCGUUGGUUGGUUGAAUUUUUUUUUUUUUUUCCUUCUGGCUUCUUUCUUUCUCUUCUGGAUUAUUCCACACGUUUUAUUUUGGGAAGAAGAAGAUGACGUUGACCAGUUUACUUAACAAACGGGGUAAAGAAUGUUACCUACACGCGGUUGGAUGCGCGUGUAACUGAAGCGGAGUUCACGAGUUUGGUUUUACACGUGUAGAAUAUUUUUUUGGUUGGAUUUCUUUAUCUGAGCAUGGAAACAAUUUCAUAUAUUUAAUUUUCCGAAUAUAAAAUAAAUGAUUUAUAAAGUUUAUUAUAUUUUGGUUCCAGAUCUUAAAAAAAUGAAAACCAUUAUUUUAUUAAAAAUCAUUUUAUUAAUUAAUUAUUGCAUUGUUGGCUUGUAGCUUAAGGUGUUAAAACGGGCUAUCCGGAUCCGUUUAUGCCUUUCCCAUCUAAAGCUUGUUACCACAUGCCCGCUAGACUGCGAACCCGUUAAAGCCCGUUUAACUGCAAACCGUUUAACAUAAAGCUGUCCGUUUAGGCCCGUGAGCCCGUUUAAAUACAGAUUUGUUAUUUUUUUUGCCAUGUAAUCUAAAGAAAUUGUUUUAUGUAAUGACAUUGUCUUUGUUUUAAUUAUUUCUUUUAAGUAAUGUUAUUGAUUCUUUUUUUUUAAGUAAUGGUAUUGAUUCUUUUAUUUUAUUCUAAAUGCAGUUUUAGUGUUAAUGUUUUUGUGUAUCUAAUACAUAUUUAAAAUCUGCAAGUACAUCAAAACUGAAACUUAGAAAGUGAAAGACAACAAACCAUAUGCAUAAAGAAGUUUGAUAUAUAAAUAUUGUUACACUAUCGGUGUUGUAUUAUGAAUGAAAUUCAAAAGGUAAAAUUUAAUAUAACAAAUAUACAUAUAUAUAACGGAAGUUUUAAAAAAAAAAUACAUAUAACGGAGCUAAAUAAAAUAGGUGGAGUAUUUUACAUUUUCAGAAACCAACUAAUAGUCGUUCGAGACGUGAAAUCGACUAGACAAGAAUCUCCUAAAAACAGAUCCACUCAUGCCGAAAGACUUUUUUUUUCUUUACUUAUUGUUCGUAUGAAGAAUUCUUCGAGAUGGCAUACUUCUGAACUCCUUUUGAGUGUCAUACAUGCACCAAAGGAUUCCAGGCACAAGAUUCAUAUGGUAUCUCAACUUUCGGCAACCGAUCUAACCAGGCGAGCCACGUGAAUCACUUUGUCACAAGCGGAGGUGGCCAAUCCAAAUAAUUACAAACGUCAGCAACGUGCCUAAUCCAAUUAGUUAUGAUCAUUAUCAAAAGCUAAAGACGAUGAAAUCUUAAUGACAGUAAAUAAGAGCAUGAUUAUCCCUAGAAACCCCGUAAAGUUUCUUAAGUACAUUUUAAUGAUUAUUUAACUAAUAAAUUUUAGCUAAAGACUUUAGUUAAAAAUCACCUAAUUUUUGUGAUACAAUAGAAGUUUCUUAAUUUGAGUUUCUUAAAAAAUUUUAAUUUUUUUUAUUAAAUGGUCACUAAAUUCUACUAGUAGAUGAUCACAAACUCUUAAACUAAAACAAGAAUCGAACUUCAAGUAUCACAAGGAGCAAGACCUGGGGUUUGCGAACCAUGUCAUGGACUUGAAAGUAGUCAAGUAUCUUGAUCUUCUCCAGGUGGGAUGCGACUUUACAUUGAAUCGGAUCCAUCUUUAAGAGCAUUCAAACCUCUUCCAUAACAAACAGAACAUUUCAUCAUCUGAUUUUCCUUCUAAAACACCGGCUCUCCAUCAGCAUUGCACAUUGGACAGACAACUUCUCCUCUCCCUGUGCAACCUAUUAAUCAAAAUGCCCUCAUCAAAAUAAUAAUUCAUCCUAACGGUAACUAUGGACAUAGAUAUAAUGUUACAUGUGCACUUGUCAACUGUCUCAGAAUGAGGAACUGGGACUCAAGAAAUGGCUUGCUCCAGGAACUGAUCAUUUCCUGUCAGACACAUCAACCACAUCCCAGCAGCAUGAGAGAUUUAGAUAAGACGUAAUACAAGGUCAUAUUUAUCAACAAUCACACUGAUAAAACACUUCAUCUUAAAACCAAUGCUUAGUCUCAACAACAAACACUUCCAUUAAUACUACGCACCUCUUAACAAAGGCUAACUAAACAUUCUCUUGGUUCCAAUUGAAGUAUGCAACCAAAUAAAAAAAGUAUGGAAUUAUCUGUACCUGGGAGCUUGCUCGAAAAGACAGACACACCAAUGAUACCUUAGGAACAACCAAACUCUCUGCGUUAACCUCACUGCUACCAGAAGUAACAAGCAACUUCAAGACUUUUCCACUAGAAAGAGUCACAACCAAUUCCGAAAAUUUCACAGCUGACACAGCAUGAAUCACAGUCUUAUUCGCAGUUGUUAUCUGCAACAACAUCAAUUAUUAGUUAAGAAACUUCACAAACCCCAUUGAUCAUGCAUAGCUAAGAACAAAGAAAACCAGAAUCUCGGGUCUUUUUAUUGUGACUACUACCAUCAAUCAUUACCUUACCACCAUGUUCCUUAAACUCUUUCGUAUCAGCAAAGUACCCCUGAUUCAUCUCAUAGCUAAGCAGACAAACCCCCAACUGGUUGCUUCUCAUCGUCCCAUCAGUAAUAACAAGAUAAAAGAUCAAACUUCAGCAAAAAAAAUCUCAACUUCAAAUCACAAUCUCAAAAGGAUGAACCACACAAACCCCCAACGAUCAAGUUCUGAUACAUGUACGUAGUGAAUACACGAUUGUGAUCAGUUACGUGAAGUCAACAAAGCCAAAAAAUUGCAUUAAGAAUCUAUGUACCUUGUUUCCAUCUCGAGUAAUCACAAAGUCCCGAGAAGGAGUCACCAAAACAGAGAAUCAACACAAUUUGAAAUAAAUGAAAUCAACGCAGACGGAGAAGACGAAGACGGAGAAGAUGAUAAAAAAAGGAAAAGAAAGAGAGAGAAGAAAAAAUUCCAUUAAGGAUCGAUUUCUAAAAUCACUAAUUAAGGAUCGGUAAGAAGGUUUUUAUUUAUUUUUGAUUUAAUUAAAUCAAUCAUUUAACUUAAAAACCCCGGAUUGCCGAUAAUCAUGGUCUAAUGCUAUAAUACAAAGAUUUGAUGUUAUUGAUCUGCUUUUAAGCUAGCUUUAGACAAUAUAAUGAAAACAGUCAUGAUGUGCGUUUUGUUUUGUUUUUAUGUCAAAAAAAAACUCAUGACAGUUUUCAUUUGUCAUCAAUGCCUUAAUUAAUCUCUUGUUAGCUUACCGUGUCCACCGGUCAAAUUAGUAUUUUGAAAGUCUACAUUGUGAUAAAUGAAUUAGAUGUACGUAUACAUGUGAUUAUGAUCUUGUCCUAUGUGAUUUUUUGAAAUAUACUCUCUCUGUUUCACAAUGUAAAUAGUUUAGAAUAAAAGCACUAAUAUUAAAAAAGUUUGGUACUUUAAAAAAUAAUAUUUAACUAAUUAGUUCAAUUAAUUAUAAAAAAUUUGAUAUUAUUUGAUUGGUUACGCUAUAUCUAAUAAAUGUAAAAAUUAUCUAGAUAUUUGGAAAUUACUUACAUUUUGAAACAAAAGAAUUUUCUUUAAACUACUUACGGUAAAUAACGAAAGGAAUAUAUAGAUAUAUGAUUUAGGCUUCUUUUCUAAUAGUUUAUUAUAUAUAUGAAGGUACUGUGAGCGAUAAAUUAUGGACGAAAUUAAAUAUGUGUCGUCUUUAUUGAAUUGGUAUGACUAUAUAUAUAGUAACCCCCACGAAAGUCACAAGAUUUGCAAUUUUUCCUCUAAAAUAAUAUAGACCCAUCAACUUAGAUAAGCUUCUUUUUGAGGAAGAAGCGUUUGAGAUGCCAAACUUGAAAAAGUGAAACAACAACAGAGAGCCCUAAAGACAUAAAGCUAAGCUGUGAAACCCUCUUGUUAGUCUUCUCGUUUAUCUCCCUCAUAGCUGCUUCCCUGUAAUUUUUAUAAAUAGUAAAACAAAACAAAAAUAUCUUAUAUCAAAAAAGAAAAGAUUCACUAAGACAUAUAGAGAGAUAGGUAAAUAGAUAGAUGAUAGAUCGUUAAAUAACCUGAAUCUUAGAAAGAGAAUGUUUGCCCUAAUUUCAAAUACACGUUCAGCAGAUUUUCGAAGUUCAAGCUCCACACCCUACAAACAAUAUAUAUUCAUCCACAUGUGUCUUUGCGGCAAUAAUAUUACACUAGUCUAUAUAUGAACUGGAACUCAUUACUUAAAGACUUGCCUCGAUCUUUUCUUUCUUAGCAACAGCAUCCCAAUCUUUGGUUCCAAUACCCAUCUUCCAGUCAAGACUGACGAUGGCAGUGCUAUUAUCGACUGCGUAGUGUGUCUGAUCUUUAUGCAUGGAUAAACAAGCUAAGUAUGUUCCGCUCUCGCUCGUUGUAAACGCAAACCGACCUUGCGUCACGUUUGUUCUCUUGUACACUUCUUUCCCGUAAGCUGAUGUUACCUAUAACAAACACAUGCAUGAAUUAAUAUAUAACCGAGUCUUCUUAUAUGCUACCAAUACUAAAAGUUAUAUAUAUCAUCACUAUGUAACUCCAGUGUUUUGCUAAGUUAACAUUUUAUGGAUAAUAAAAUUAAAUAAAAUACAAAGAACAAUGAAGUAUAUAUGGUUGAAUAUAUGAUUUAGGUAUAUAUAUAAUAUACAUACCCGAAUAUUAACGGUAGGACCAAGUCCCACCUCGUUAUUUUGAUCAAUGCAAAGGAAGUCGCCAACGACGACCACAUUGGCUUGAAUCACUUCGUAGACGCAUCUGUCGCCGGCCCUUGGAAUCGUUAACCAUAUAGCUUCCACCGCCGGUAAAAGAGAGCCACCGCCUGCGAGGCAAACCAAAGCAAUGACUAAUAACGGUAAUAUCGCCAUUGUUUGAGAGAAAUAGCGAGAGGGAGAGAUCAUGAGUUAAAAGGUUACUAUUUACGUUAUUCAGCAAAAAGAGUUUAAAGCUUUGUGUUCCAAGUUGUAACCACAGGUUGGUGUUUUUCUUGUAUCCAAUCAGAAGAAGCCUUUGUAGGAUGUAAUGAACAUUUUGCUAACGCGCAAGCCGUUUGUGCUGAUUUUACUUAAAUGGAAACUGCGUUUAGUUUUGACUAGACCUCAUCUCUUUAACAAAGUGAGAAUUCAACAAAAAUUACAUAUUUCAAACCCAUCGACAAAAGAAUAAGGAGGUGUUAUUGGUUUAUAUAUUUUGAUUGAUUUAGAAAUCCAUAUAAUAUUUAUAAAUCCAAGUAAAAUAUGUAAAUCCAGAGGUUUUUCCUCGGAUUUGAGUCUUUGUAUUUUUAACUAAAAAAUCCAAACAAAUCCAUUCAAAUCCAUUAUAAAAUCAAAUAUAUUAGUAAAUCCGUAUGAUUGAAUAACACUUGAUUUGAUAUAGAAUUUAUGAAUCAUUAAACCAAUAACACAUGAUUUUAAUACAGAUUUUAAAAUCAUAAAACCAAUAACACUAGAUUUAGUUCGGAUUUUCAAAUUCAUUAAAAUACAACAACCAAUCAUCCCUAAGUCCAUUAUCAAUUUUUAUAAUUUAGUUAUAAAGGUCCAAAGCUUUUUUCUUUUCUACAUUUCUCUACUAAAAGGCCCGAACUUUAUACAUUUGCCUAUGGUAUUACAUUUUUUCGAAAAUAGCUUACCUGAAGUAAUAAACAAUCACCUUGAGAAAAUUUCAUAAACUUUUUGAAAUAAUUUGACAAAUUUCUUCAUAACGAUUCACCAUGACGAAUGACAUGUCAUACCAACCCAACGUCUAGAAGAAGAUUAACUUUUAUUAGUAUACUAGAUUCUGAUCCGUACUUGGAUAUAUUUUUGUUGACAAAUUUAGUUUGAUUAUCAUCUUGUUGUGGACAUAGUUUUUGUCUGUUAUUCAAUAUUAUUUAAUUGUUGAAAAUAAAAGUCAGUUUUUUUCUAAAAGCAGAUCCGGUGGCACAAAGAAAUAAUCAAUACAAUACUAAAAGGGGAAUACCCUGAGUAGUUAGAGUGUCCACGUCGACAGUAAAAAUCAACCAAUAGGAGAAGAGCUUUCCGCCACGUCAGAUGCUCACUUCUGUCAUUUGGGCUUCGCGUUUCACCGGCCCGUUAACGUUCAGAAUUGAGAACCAAACUCUGUGUUUCCUGUUAUGUCUGAAUCGUCUUCUUCUUCAACGAUCCGCCGUCCCCUUCCUCUCAAUUUUCGACCUCCCCUAUGUCCUCAUCUAUGUCUUUUCCUUACCUUCCGUUCAACGUUUAUAUCUUAGUCUAUACAAUGAAUCUUCAGUUUACAUUUAAGGCAUUAACUCCCACAAACUCUCUGCCUCCCUCUUUUACAAUCAAAGCAUUAGCUUUGUGCGUAUCUAAUCCGAAAAAUAUCUCAAACACUAAAAAUAUGAAAGGAUUGAGAGUGGAAUCAAGUUUCACCAACACGCUCUCUCAGUUAUGUUCUCUGAAAAAACCCUAAAAUCCUUCUUCGAAUUGUCUUCGUGUGAUGAUGUUGUUCUCCAAUUAGCCAUCCACCACUCAACCUUUAAUCACUCUCUUCUCUUUAAUUAAAAAGGUAUUGUCGUCUUACACUAUCAAGCAUCAUAUUUUUCGAUCUCUAUUUUUUUUUAGAAAGACUUAUGAAUUUACUCUUCCUACAAAAAUCGUUGAUCCACAGAUCCAUUUCUGGAUCAGUGUUCAUUUUCCGGAAUCAAAACGCUUCUACAGUUUUUUUUUUAAUUUGUGAAAAUACUUCCACAUAUUAUAAUUUUUAUAUGUGUUGUUUCUUUCAAGCUGAAUAGAAGACAAAAAAAGGAGAGAGGAUUCAGUACAACAAAUUAUUGCAACUUCUGCCACAUGAUCAGGUAAACAUCAUGAUAUUUUCAUGUAUGAUAACUCAGUUCUUUAUAAUUGUGGUAGUCUCUAAAUUUGGAUUACUAUGUCUCUCGCUAUAGUGAAGCAUAACACAUAUCUGAAUUUAUUUCUACGUUUGUUUCAAAGAAAAAAAACAUUACUUGGGAGUCACUCACCAGUAGUGUAAUCAAGCAACAAAUUUUGAAACUCUGAAGCUAGGCAACCCAUAUGGCUUUGGCUUUGUUUUUGUCUUAUAAUCUGGUGUUCUCUACAGCUCUGCUCGAAUCAGCUAAAUACAGCUAUGUCACAAACUAAAGUGUUUAAUCAUGACAGGUCAGUCCCUAAUUUAAGCAUUUUCCUGAUGGUUUUUGUAUUUCUUACUUAAGAAAAAUACGUUUGAGCACUUGCCCUUCCAAAAAGGUUGGAUGACUUCUUGAUUUCAGUUGUGCCGUGAGAUUUCAGCUCUGGCGUUUCUAAACUUGGUUGGAUCUUCUUCUCCUCCUACGAAGAUCUGUUGAGAAUUGAUUACGAGAUAUAAACCCUGCAAUCAAGAAAGAGUGAAGACAGUGAUCAGAAGAAGAACAACAACGAUACGAAGAAGAGAAUCAAAGUCUAAAGUGAAAGAGAAAGAAGAAGAUAAAGUCAACUUAGAGUCAAAGAAGGAGGCAGCCUUGCAUUACAUCUCUGAAGAGUCGUUAGUCAUCUUAAGAGGUUAGUUAAUAAUUUAACUGAGUGAGUAUAACUAGGAGAUGAUCAGAGAGUCGUAUGAGAAGAGUUGUUAGAACAGUGUUUGAAUUGCUUGCAAGAUUUGUCUAAAAGCUAGAAGUAUUAUUAGGUGUAAGCAAGCAUGAUUAAAGUCAGUUAAUUAAUCUGCUAUAAAGAGCUGAGUAUUAUUUGUUGUUGUAGAAUGUGAGGAAAGCAAGGGAAAAGCAUGAUUGUUGCGGGGUUUUCUGAGUCGAAGAAGAAUCAUGGUAACGAACUGAUUGAAAAGUUGGAAGCUGGUAUGCAAGAUAUGCUACAGAUUGUCGAAGAUCGGAAUAGAGAGAUGCCGUUGCUCCUAAAAUGAAAGAGAAUCUCCAAUAUGUUGGCGGGUGAGUUUACUCAAAAGUGUAAUGCACGAGAGACAAAAAAGCCAAUAUGGUUUUGGAUUAGUAAGGAAGCUGAUAUACUUGCUCAUUUAGACCCUUCUUGAUGACUGCAGCUGAGAUCUUCCUGUCAUGUGGCGCUCUGCAGAAUAGAAGAGGACAUGGUCGAGGGCUUCCUCUAUGAAGUCCCUGAAGAGUAUAUAAACAUGCCUUUUCUCAAGAGAAGUGUACAUGAAUGCCAAGAUCAAGGACAAUCCCAACCUUGAGGAUUGUGUUUUCCACAUUGUCGUCGAUUGCUAUAACGCCCCUGUUACUGCCGGGAACUUUGUGGACUUGGCGGAGCGCAAUUUCUACAAUGGCAAGGAGAUCCAGAAAUAUAUAUAUAUAUAUUGUAUAUGGGAAAUUUUUGUUAAUCAAUGGAUGAAGAUUUUUUGUAGCUGAUGAGUUUGUGGUACAAAUAAGGGAUCCAGACAGUCAUGCGGAAGGAUUUAUAGAUCCAACCACAGAGAAAAAACGCCAUUUUACGGCUCAGCCCUAAAGUAAAAGCUUACACCCUUCUGACAAUAUAUUUAUUCAUAAUAAUAAUAAUAAAUUAUCAUUUGUUAAUUUGGUUGGAGAGGUAUUGGGUCUGUACAAUGGCAAUGGCUAGAGAAGUGAGAGUUCUUACUCUUCCUUAACAUUUGAAUAUAUAUUCUAAUUAUAUGUAAUGAAAAAAGGGGUUUGAGAAUGACUCAGAAUCGAGCCAAGUGUUUUGGCUGCUGAAAGAGCGUGAGCUGACGCCAAGCAAUUCCAACAUCUUGGACGGUCGUUACGAUGUCUUCGGCGGCUACGUUACUCAAAAUGAAGAUUUUCUGGCUGAUCUUAAAGUCGAUGAUGUCACAGAGGUCAUUCAAGUUGUCUCCGGUUGAGAAGGAAUAUGUUCUUGCACAAAAGAAAACAGAAAAGCAACAUGGUACUGCUUUAUUUGUAUUAGAUAUAUAUUUCAGACAGUGUUAAAUUACAUUCGACAUCCAGUUUCGUGUUCUUCCCAUAGACAUCAUUCUCAGAGAUCCUACUACAUUCGAAACUUUUUUUCUUAUUAUUAUGGCUAGCACAUCUACCAUUCUUGCUGCUCUCAAAUAUGGACGCUGCUCAUCCACCGUGGAGGUGGAGGUGCGGCUUCUCCGGUUUUGGGAAGCCAGAAACAUUAAACGUGGUGGCCACUUCAUGGGAGUAAAUAUGCUUCUUCUGGAUUCUAAGGUGAUUCCGUUUUUUAAAUUCAUGUUCAUCAUAGUUUUGAACAGAUCUCCAAUAUUAAGAUUCAUGUUUAACAGUAUUAUGAUUUCAAUAUUAUUUAUUUCCUCUUCGUGAUUUGGUUUUGAAUCCAGUUUUAAAUUGUGUUCUUCUGUUUAUAAACAUUUUCAGGCGAUGCUCAUACCCGCCACCAUCAACGUGAACCGUCUUCCCACCUACCGGGGAUACUUGAAGGUAGGUUCCAUGUUCUCUUUGAGUGACUUUGAUGUCACUAGGUGUAAUCAGAAUUUUAGACUUUCAGACUCUCCUCUGUUGAUACGGUUCACUUUAUGUAUAUUGCAAAUUUCUCCUUCUGAUGUUAGCAUCCAAAUGAUUGUUAAUGCAUGUAGAUACCCGCUACAAGAUCGUUUAGGGUACUGUUAUACGAGCUGCAAAUCCAGCACCAACCUCGAGUUCAGAAGAUUCCUCACAAGAGCUAUCAAGUCCAGAAGAUUCCACUGAGUCCAAGAUCUACCAAGUACGUCUUUGACAUUAGAAAAUAAUCUUGAUCGAGAAAGCAGAGUCUGCAGCAAAAGCUCUUGCAGUGGCUGAUUCCAAAGUGUUCGAAGCCAAAGAGGCGUCUCAAGUUGCAGAUACGGCCCCAAAGAAGUCUCUGACCGAUGUAAUGUCCACCUACUCGACCACAUUAAUUAUCCUAAAUUGAUCAUCACUCAGCUCUUUUUUGAUUCGUUCCUUGCAGGUGCUAAAAGAUGAAAAUGUUGAACUAUGGUAGAGCUUUAUACCUUGUGGUCCGGUUCAAUGUAGAUGUAAAGGACUGUUUUUUUAAUAGGUUUUGGCUUUGAGAACAAAAAUAAAGAGUACAUGUAUAUGAGAUUUCAUUGACUAUUGACGUUGUCACUUUUUGGUUAGUUUUUGAUGUUAAGUACGGUUCUGGAUGUUAGUAGAUGUUUUUGCAAGUCAUACUGAGAAUUGUUAAUGCAUGAUUGUGUUUAUAUUUGAUUAGAUUUGGUUCAAGUUGAAAGUUAUUAUUUGUGCAUGGUUGAUCAAUUGCAAUGAAGGAUACAAGGUACACCAAAUAUUUGAAUGGCAUAUAGAGUUUAGGUGGAUGCUCCACGUUGGAAGAGGAACCCGUUAACCAAAUUUAAUUAUAAAAUUUAUUUAAAUAAAUUUUUUUGAUAUAAACAUAUUUUUUAAAUUAUUAAAUAAAUAAGUUAAUUAUAUAUCUUUUUAAUUUUAUAUGUUAAUAUAUUUAUAUAUAUAUAUAUAUAUUAGAAAUAUAUUCAUUAAAAAUAAAUAUAUUAUAUACUAAUUUAACCUAUACUAAAAGGAAAAUAUGUUCGAUAACUAGCGUGUCCACCUAAGCAUAAAUAAUCAUCCAAUUAUAGAGUUUCAAUCUGCCACGUCAUAAAUAAUAACUACAUUCUAAAAUCCACCACUUGAAAAACUCUAAUACAGACAAAGCAGUCCAAAGCCCAAAUUACCUUAGGUCUUCCUAACCCAGUCUUCAAUGGUAUCAGGAACUUUCUACCUUCCUCUCCCCUUAAAUUCACCGUUCUGUGAAAAUCAAAACGUCACCGGUCAAAGAUCUUCAAGAAACAUUUUUCCUCAAACUUUACUAUCCUUCUCAAAUUGAUAACGAACAUCUCUCUCUCUUCAGCUUCAAAUAUCUUUAUAUAUAAGCUGAUGCGUACUUACACAACCAACUUCCAAUCCAACUACAACAGGGAUGCUCAUCCAGCUUAGGCAUCUUCUCGUCGAUGAAUAGGUGCCGUUUCAUUUUCUCCUCUAAUUUUCAUAUUCGUAAUCUCCAAUGACGAUUCUUUCAAGGACAAUGAACUUUGUUUUUGUGUUUUUUAAUCUUUGAUGUGAUUUCUUUCUAUCCAUGCUAUGCUGAUUGUUUUGGAUUGCGCAGAACAAGUUACAGAAUUUGGUUUGAUCACUAUUGAGAACUCGAGUCCGACAAUCAGUUAAUAUACGAGUCAAGCUUAUUAGAAUUUUCUGACUGUCUUUGUGCUUUGUGAUCUCCCAGGUUCACCUGGAUCAAGCUACGGAAGAGACAUGACCGAAAACAUGUGCUCUGUUAUAUAUUGUUAUUGCGCUUUUCCUUACUCUUGCUUUGAAAUCUCGGAAGCAUUUUCAUUACAACCAUAUGAUCAGAGUUAUGAUAUUUUGUUAUCUUCUUUUUGGCUUGGCUCUAUCCGGUAGACAUUUCUCCUUUUGUUGGUAUUUUUCUGCUCUACUUAUAAAUGGCUCGAAUUAAAGCUUCAAGAUACUGCUAGAGUAAUAUAUGUCUUUGUUUCACAACACUGAGUAUUGAAAGAUAUUGUAUCUGAUACGUAUUCGAGAGUCCAUUUAUUUUUGAUAUAUGUAGAGAGCGCAAAGAAAUUUUGAGGCUGGUCAAGAAAGAGGUACAGUGUCCACAAUAUCAUAUGAUCAUCUGGAUAAGUAGUUUGCUUGAUUAUCAAACUGUGUCCUUGAUUGAAAGUCAUUGUCUUUCUGUUUCUGCAGAUGGAAUUUCUAUAACACAAUGGCGGAGCGAGAAUAUGCUGAUUGUGAAAAAUAUGCGAUGAAUGCAUACAAAGUAGCUACAGAAAAUAGUGACACAUGUGAUGAAAUUUCUCAAGGCAGCCACCUCGCACCAAAUCAUCCUGAACCAAAACCAGUUUCUGGUUUGGCCCAGAUGAUGAUGUUGUCCGAUGCAAGACUACAGAUUAAAGACAAGGAGUGAUGCAAGCCGUGAAGACUAUGGAUUCCUGUCCCGGCUGCGUUUUCUCGAUGCCAAGGCCUCAAUGAAGUUAAAUAAACUGUUAAAAGAGUCACCAGUUCUUUUAACGCCAUUGUGGAAGAAACAUAAAAUAUUAGAACAUAUCGAAUGAUUACCCGGUAAGCUACGAGCAUAUGUAUAUUUUUCAAGUUUUUGUUUGUUUGGUAUGGUUGGAAGUUCUAUUGGUUCAAAUACUCGGAUCGUUAUGGUUAAUAACAUUGAAGAAUAAGUCUAUGUUACAUCCAUAUAGAGAUAUAUAUACUUAUAUACGUUGCGCACAUAUAUACUGAGAUAUAUAACAUUUAUGAAUAGCAAAUGUGUAUGCGUAGGAAGAAGGAUGGAAACGUAGCAAAUCGUGUUAGUAGCGGCGGCGAUAUAUUCAUUAAAAUUUUAGUAUGUUCUUCUGAUGGUCACCAGUUAGAUCCUGAGAGUACGGCCACAAGUAAAUACCUCAUUCUAGAUUUCCAAGGUUUUUUAUUCGUUGACUAAAAAAACAAUACAUUGUUUACGAUAUAGUACAUUUGUUUAUUUGAUCUUUUAGAACUAAUUUUGUUAGUAGAAUCUUAAUUUUAUCUAUGUAUAGCCAUGUGUAUGUGGAGGAAGAAGUAUGGAGAUGUAAUAAAUCCAUCCAUAUUUCUAAAUAAUGCAUUUGAAAUAUGAAAGUAUUUAAGUAAAUAUUUUUUCAUAUUCCAUUAGCUAAUUUGAUAGUCAUGUUCAUGUUGUAAUUUCGCCAUUUCAUUUGUUUUAUUUAGUCAAAAUUAUUAUAAUACAAAAGUAAUCCUAUUUUAUUAUUUGCAUCUGAACAUAAAAAUAUCCACUGUUUCCAAACCAUAAAUACAUAAGAUCACAUCUUAUUAUAUAAAGCUUGGUUUUUCAAAGUUGCUAAUAAACAUAAUUGUGAUACAUAUCAAUUAUAUAUUUAAGAUUAUGACAUGUGUUAAUAUAUCUCAUAAUUAAAGAUAAAUUACAUUUACGUAUUACAUGUUUUUUACAUAUUAUAAAAUAAUAAGUAUAUAUUUUAUAAUUAAAAAAUUCAGUAACUAUUACAUUUACGUAUUAUAUGUUUUUUUUUGUGGAAUAUUUAAUAGUUAUAAUAAUUUAUGAUUUUGAAUAAAAUUCAAAGCAAAUUUGAUUGCGUUUCGACCAUUCUCUUCUACGAACUUGAGAUGCUUCAAAGCAUGAGUUAGUUCUUUAUGUAUGCCUAAUGAGAGGCUUAACGACGCGAUUAACAUGCUGAGGAUUAGUUCAGAAUAGCGGCGGUACCACGAGCUUCACGUCAUGGAUCAGUUAUGGUGUUCUCUUUGUGGAGUAGAUCUACUAAGCUCUUUGUGUAGUUUGAUAUUCUUUUGUACGUAAUUAAAUGUCAGCUUCAAGAUUUAUCUCUUCUCAACAUGUUCUCUUUUUUUCUACAUAAUUCUAAUACUCAUUCGAAUGCCAAAGAUAAAUAGGUCAACAAAAUUAAAAUGGAUCUCUCUCACCAUUUUUCCUCUUUCUCUUUGUUUCCGUUAACAAACAUGAGUCACUUGAACGUUGAUUUUGAGAACAAUAUUGUAGAUUUUAUACAAGAAUUGAAUCUAAAAAGGCUUUAAGAUGGUUAAAUUUAUGUGGAUUUUAUUUAUAAUCAGAUAGCUCAUGCUGAUUUGUUUCGGCUAUACAAAGCGGCUGAGCAUUUGUGUUGCCUACACGAGGAAAUAACACAAACACAAGUUCAUAUUCUGAUUAAUGAUUGUGCUGCUUUCAAAUAAGCUAUAUCUAUUAAUCUAUUUAAUUACUAAUAAUGAAGUUCUUAUGUACGGUGUUACAGAAUCUAAAUGUAUUCUUAGAAUCUAUAUGGAUCAUAAUUAAAGCUUAGACAACACAAAUGCUCUCCGCCUCUUUGUAUAUAGCCGAAGCAAAUCAACAUACGAGAGUUAUGUGAUAAUAAAUAAAAUACACCAAAUUUUAACCAUUUCUAGGCUAACACAAAUGCUCUCUAUUCAUUUCACAUGUUUGCUCAGCAUCCCAAAUACAUUUUUUGAUAGUAAUAAUAAGCAAAUUUUGAGUUUAAAUCAUUGCAAAUUUGAUGUACAAUUUAUAUUUUAUAUAUAUCAUAGCUAUGAUAUAUGUGGAUUAUAUAUUUAAAAAAUAUAACUGUCAAAAACCCGGGCGUAGCUCGGGAAAAUUCCUAGUUUUUAUAAUAAUUUAAAAUAGAAUACUCAAACUGCUCUACUAAUCAUCCUAUUAAACAGUUUAGCCAAAACAUAUCGUUCCUGCAACAUACUGCUUCUAUAGUAUACUGCUAUUGCUUUAUCAUUUGCUCUGCCAAUCAAAGCUUAACUUAAUUACUGAUAUAAAUUUCAAUACGCAUAAAUAAUCACCUCAUAAUGAAUAUUUACAUUACAUAUUAAUUUUAACGUAUACGUUAAUUGAUUGGUUCAUUCAAGACCCAAAACUGGCGAAAAUAUAAUUAAAUAAAUAUAAACAUUAUUUAGAAAUUUUUGCCUUUGUUAUUGACAUAUAAUUAGACUAAUGGUGUAGUUAAUAGCGUGUCUAUAUAUUUACCAGUUUAACCGUACAUUUUAAUUGGAGAAAGAAAACAAACAAAAAUCAAGUGAAGACUUUUAAGGUAUAUGAAACAAAAAUUGAAAAUAGCAAUUUUCUGCAAUUAAAGAAUAAGGCAAUAAAAUUGCAAAAAUACAAGAUAAAACAAAAAUAUACACAAAAAGAAAAAUUUAGUAAAAUAAAAUCAUAAUACAAUUGUGAUAACCCGUCCCGUGGGAACUAUCCACCCAGUAGGCCCUAGGUUCACAGCCCUGCAGGGCACCGACCCUAACCCCUCGAUUAUGAGUUUUCUCUCACUCCGUAAUUAGUUUGUUGGGAGAGUUGUUAAAAGGUGAGGUCCUGGGUUCAAGGUCCAUCAACAACCUAAUUAUGGAGUUAGUGAGAACUCAUAAGAGAGGGGGUGUGGUCGAUUCGCUGCAGUGCUGUGAGACUGAGGUUUACGGGACGGGUGGUCCACAGGACGGGUUGUCACAAUAAUUUCCAUAAUUGAUAGUGAUCAAUUACACUAAAAAGUCUAAAUUUACAACAUACACAGUUUUAUUUACAUCUUUAAACCUAUUAUCUAAUUAAAAUGAUUCUAAAAAAAAUACAAGCAUGAAGAGUUAGAAAAUAUACGAUAAUAUAUAAUACAUAACGUUAAAAAUACGUAAUCAUUGAUCACUAAAAAUAAUGUUAGUAGUAAUAAAAAUGACAUGACAACACAUUUAUUAAAACUAUAGAACGGCACGCAACAAGGUGUUAUUAAAUAUACAAACUACAAUUAAAUAUGCUCAACGCAAACACACAUAAAAAUGAGACAUCAUAUUUGGAUAUAUUGAAAUAAAUAAUUUUAAUUAUAUUAUAUUCUUGAUAAUUUUAAAAUUACUAAACUAAAUUAUUAAAAAAAUAAUAUCCAAAUAAAACUAAAGUAAUAUUUUGUAACAUCAAAAUAAUAAAUGAAUAAAAAUAUAUUAUGUUAAUAAAAUAGAUUUUAGAUUUUAAAGACUUCUAAUUCAUGUAAUAUUACAAAAUUCAAAAUUUGUUUAUUACAAUUAAUAUUUUACCAUUAGAUAUAUUAAAAUAAUAUUCUAGAUCGAUAUUCAAUUGUCAGUUUUCAACUAUUACACGUAAAAAAAUAUUAUUUAGUACACUUUUUUUUAAAGGAGGUUUUAUAUUCUAAGUAGGUUAUUGGAGUAAUUUUCUUUUCCAUGAAUUUAUUCAAGAUGAGAUUUCAAUCUUUUAAACUAAGAUAAUUUAUGUUCUAUACAUAAUUAUAUUUUUUUACAUAACUUUAAAAUCUCGGACUUGAUUCUUUAUAUUUUAUUAGCUAAUUCUGUUACAUAUAAUAGAAAUACUUACUUCAAACUAAAAAUAUAAAAAAAAAAUUAAAUUUAAAAAUUAGUUAUAUAUAAUUUAAUAUACAAAAAUUCACAUAUAAAUAAAAAUGAUAAAUGUAAUAAAUUUAAAUAUAUUAUCCGCGCUACGCGCGGAGAAAUGAUCUAGUAUGCCGUAAUAAUAGGAAGUCAAAAGAUAACAAUGAUUCUAAAUUAAUAAUAUUGAUUAUAUAUUAUAUGAUUCCACCAAAUUAAACUUUACAAAACCCACUUCUCAAGAAUGACAAUAGUGUUGUUCGUUUGACAGCCGCGGAAAGCUGCUUCUGCCUCUGAGUCAACCGCAGCGUCUGUUCAUUAUUUGAAAAAAAAAACAAAACUAUCAAUAAUCCGCAUGAAAAACCAAAAAUAUAAAUGAAUAAAAAAACUCAAAGGCAGCAAUUUUUUUUUAAAAUCAUUAUUCCCACUUGAUUGCGAGAGAGGGAUAAAGGAAAACUUUUCAUCUUCUUCACCUUCACCCUCAUCGUUUCCCCCUCUCUCUCAGCAUGCUCAUCAUCAGAAACAAUCUCCUUUUCUAUCCUUGAUGCGUCUUCUCUUCUAAUCUCCGGCGAGAGAGAGAGAGGCCAAAAACAAAGAUCCAGAAGAAGGAUAGAGAGAGAAGCUAUCUAUGGCCGCCGCCGCCGCUACGGCAGACAAGGAAGCUAUGGUGGAUCCUUUUCUAGUCGAGGCUCUCCAGAAUCCUCGUCACCGUCUCACCAGUUAGUCGAUUCUCUCCCAAACCCACGAUUCAGUUUCACUUUCUCUGCUCUUGUAUCGAUCUGAUUUUGCUCAAUCGUUAGUUUUCUAGGGUUUGAUUGAAUUAGGGGAAUUGGGGAUUAGGGUUUAGCUUUCGCGCUUCAGGAUCAGAUCAUCCACUUGUUAGCUACACAAUCAUAAUCAUCAUGAACAUAUUGAAAGCUUGAAUCAUCAAAUGUCAACACUUUUUUUUUAAUUUCCACAAAUGUUUUUACUUUCUAUAUAUGGAAAGAUUCUGUUUAAAGUUUGCUUCUUUUGCUUAUGUGUGUUUUAUAGUAUUGAGGAUGGAGCUCGAUAUUCAAAAGUUCUUUCAAAGCCCUGACCAGCUUCAGUUCGAGUUCCCGCCUUUUCCAACGUCAUACCUUCGUCUCGCUGCGCAUCGAGUCGCUCAGCACUACGGACUAGUCACCACGGCUCUGGACAACGGUGCCGGCGCCUUAGAUGGAUCCGACAACAGAAUCUUGGCGACGAGAACAGCCGAGAGCAGGUUUCCUCACGUCUGCUUAUCCGAAAUUCCGGUUAAGCAGCCGGAGGACGGUAGACCGGAGGGGUUCAAGAUCGCGAUCAAGGCUAGACCCACCAAGAGAGGAUCUGGCUGCGGAGGUGGCGUGUCAGGUGUGCAGCAGAGUCUUCAGAGAAGCGUUGAGGAGAGGAAAGAGGAGUAUGAUAAAGCUAGGGCGAGGAUCUUUAAUAGUCCUAGCAGUUCUGACUCUGAAGACUCUUCGUCUCUACAAGCUCCUCCUCUUGAAGGGAGUAACACUUGUGUAAACCGGAAUGAACCUGAGGUUACGGCGGUUAACAAUAAUACUUCCCGAGUUGCUAUUAUUAGAGAUAGAGAGAAAGAUCGGUAUGAUCCGGAUUAUGACAGGAGCUAUGAGAGAUAUGUCGUGGAUCCUGCAUACAGGUUAAAACACCUUUACAUCUCUUAAACGUCCACACUCAAGAGGUGUUCGCUUUUGCAGAGUGUAAGGUCUUUGUUCUUGUAGGUACGUUAGAUUUAUGCCGAAUCCGAUGCCAAUGCACAUGCCGUUUCACGAUGGGGGUUUCUUGCAGAUGCCAAGAGGUCAUCAAGCUAAUCUACACUACGGGCAUCCUCCGGCUAUGAGUCCCUUUAUUAAUAGCCCGGUUGGUUAUACACCGUGGCCGAACUCACCAGCUAUGAACUAUGCGCAGUCAUUGCACGGUCCAGACACACAUCUUUUCAGGUUACUAAUACUAGGCUUUAGUUGUUGUUGUUUUGGCCAUUUUGAUUAUUACUCGUUUCUGUGGCUUACGCUUCUUUUAACCUGCAGGCAUCCUUCUGCAAGCAAUCCCUGACGACAGGUAGUGUUCUGAGUACAAUGUCUGUAUGAAAAGAAAAAAGAAACAGAUUCUAUAGAUGUUAGCCUUUAGGAGCUCUCUGUUGUGUUGUUCCAAACAAUUGGCUGCUUCUUUCUUAUAUAACAAGACAUCUACUCUCUCUCUUUUUGUAUUUCUUUCUUAAUUAUAUCAAUAUCGAACUUUAAAUGACCUUCGAUCAUACUUGAACCAAUCUAUGAUCAUUGGAAUUUGGUUCUUAAAUGGUGUUUUUAUAUAAAAUGAAUUCUCAUGUGUUAAUUCUCACAUCUAGUUAUUUUUUUGUGACACAUAAAUAUGAGGUGGUGAAGACUUGGAGGGUCAUUUUCAAACAUUGGGCGAAGACAAACUAGUUUCGCAAAGUUGCCAAACGAAUAAUCAAUCACUCGUACUCUUUUGACCUAUGGUCUCAUAUCACACGAUCCGGUUUUAGAUCAUCAGUGAUAGUAUAUUUUAGUUUUAGGCUUGGAUUAGACCUGGAUUUCAAGUCAACAAUUAUUCUGGAUUAAUGAUUUAAUUAAUAUUGAAUUUAAGACUUAUGGAAGAAGAAAAAACAAUCAAGAAAUAUAAAACUAAUUUCUAGUCAGAAAAAUUGGGAAAGAACGAAACAUAAAUACACACUCUUUUAUGUGAAUAAAUUUGAUAUCAACGGUAAACAAUACUACUAAUUAUAACUGUAUAAUCUUUAUUUAGUAGUUUAAGAGCAAAAAUGCAAAGGUUGGGGCCUGACUUGGUGAGACAAGAUCAGAACACGCCAGCUAUGAUCCCACCACCAUUGCUUUAAAAUCAUUCCCCUCCUAAAUUAUUGAACCUUCAUUAUAGAAGCAACAAAAAUAUAAAACUAUAGAAAUAUUUCUAUUGGUUUUGGUCCCUUCAAUGAUUCCAUGGACAUAUAUAUGCAUAUAUGAAACUUUUAUAAUUGGUAGUGUAGUAAAUAAGUUUGGGGUAUGAUUGAGGAAGUGAGAGCAUCAGAUCCUGGAUUCUGAUUCUUCCUCCCAUUGUCUCUUUUUGCUGAUCGGUUGCUUCAUGCCAUUUGUACAUUGUACUAUUGCAUCCAUAACUCAUUAUUAUUACCUUAUUGGUUAAUCACACAAAUAGAAUUGUCUUCUCCGAUUAACACUAUCAGUAACUAACUUACCAUAUUUAGAUUACAUCACAGGAUUCUUGAUUCUUGUAAUAUAAAACUUAUAGAUGAGGCAAAGGGUAUGUAUAGUUUUUAGUAGCUGCAAUAUAUAGAAACAAAGAACAUUGUGAUGUACAUUUUCUAAACAAAGAUAGAUCCUUUUCCCAACCUUGAAUGUAUCCAUAAAAAAUGUACAAGAACUCAUCUUUACAAGAAUCAUAAAGUAGAAGCUACAAGAGAUUCAGACACAUAACUGGAUCACACUGCAUCAAUGUUAAACUGAUAAAGACUGCAUAAAACUUGUAUCAAUGUUCUUGAAAGACUACACUUUGAACAUACAAAGGAUUCAAAUGAAAAUGGUCAAGUCACAAAGUGUGUGAUCAACAGCUAGUGCUUGGCUUACAUUGAUCAAGUGUUUUCAAGCAAAGCUUAUUACCGGAAGAUUAGAUUUUUAUUCUAAUCAUCUCGAGUUGGGAACAAAGUCAAGACUGUUCUUCCUCCAAUAGCGUUUGCAGAUUCCAAAUCCUCAACGUAGUUACCAACCGGACUGUGCAACGACGGUGUAGACAUUCUCUGAAGCGUCUGCUGCUGCUGCGUUUGCCUCGCCAAGAACGACUGAUCAAACUUCCCAUUCGCCGGCGGCGAACCGAACUGCCCGUUCGCUGUCGGAGAGCCAUAAUGAGCGGCUGAGAUUUGACAGUGGUGAAACUGAGGCGGUUGCAGAUGAGCAUUAGCCGCUGCUGCCGCGGCGACCGCAGCCAUCUGCUGCUGCUGUUGAAGUGUAGCGAUCGGGACAAAAGACGGCAUGAAAUGGUCCGAACUCGGAACGCGGUUGGGGUGAAGAAAGUGAGCCGGCACGGGAGAGCUAGCGAAGAGCCGAUCCGUCGCCGGAUCCGACCCGCCUCCGCCGCCGGAAGAUAGCCCCUGCAUCCUCUUGAGGUAAAGCCUAUACUUCUGCAAGUGGCUCCCCCNNNNNNNNNNNNNNNNNNNNNNNNNNNNNNNNNNNNNNNNNNNNNNNNNNNNNNNNNNNNNNNNNNNNNNNNNNNNNNNNNNNNNNNNNNNNNNNNNNNNNNNNNNNNNNNNNNNNNNNNNNNNNNNNNNNNNNNNNNNNNNNNNNNNNNNNNNNNNNNNNNNNNNNNNNNNNNNNNNNNNNNNNNNNNNNNNNNNNNNNNNNNNNNNNNNNNNNNNNNNNNNNNNNNNNNNNNNNNNNNNNNNNNNNNNNNNNNNNNNNNNNNNNNNNNNNNNNNNNNNNNNNNNNNNNNNNNNNNNNNNNNNNNNNNNNNNNNNNNNNNNNNNNNNNNNNNNNNNNNNNNNNNNNNNNNNNNNNNNNNNNNNNNNNNNNNNNNNNNNNNNNNNNNNNNNNNNNNNNNNNNNNNNNNNNNNNNNNNNNNNNNNNNNNNNNNNNNNNNNNNNNNNNNNNNNNNNNNNNNNNNNNNNNNNNNNNNNNNNNNNNNNNNNNNNNNNNNNNNNNNNNNNNNNNNNNNNNNNNNNNNNNNNNNNNNNNNNNNNNNNNNNNNNNNNNNNNNNNNNNNNNNNNNNNNNNNNNNNNNNNNNNNNNNNNNNNNNNNNNNNNNNNNNNNNNNNNNNNNNNNNNNNNNNNNNNNNNNNNNNNNNNNNNNNNNNNNNNNNNNNNNNNNNNNNNNNNNNNNNNNNNNNNNNNNNNNNNNNNNNNNNNNNNNNNNNNNNNNNNNNNNNNNNNNNNNNNNNNNNNNNNNNNNNNNNNNNNNNNNNNNNNNNNNNNNNNNNNNNNNNNNNNNNNNNNNNNNNNNNNNNNNNNNNNNNNNNNNNNNNNNNNNNNNNNNNNNNNNNNNNNNNNNNNNNNNNNNNNNNNNNNNNNNNNNNNNNNNNNNNNNNNNNNNNNNNNNNNNNNNNNNNNNNNNNNNNNNNNNNNNNNNNNNNNNNNNNNNNNNNNNNNNNNNNNNNNNNNNNNNNNNNNNNNNNNNNNNNNNNNNNNNNNNNNNNNNNNNNNNNNNNNNNNNNNNNNNNNNNNNNNNNNNNNNNNNNNNNNNNNNNNNNNNNNNNNNNNNNNNNNNNNNNNNNNNNNNNNNNNNNNNNNNNNNNNNNNNNNNNNNNNNNNNNNNNNNNNNNNNNNNNNNNNNNNNNNNNNNNNNNNNNNNNNNNNNNNNNNNNNNNNNNNNNNNNNNNNNNNNNNNNNNNNNNNNNNNNNNNNNNNNNNNGAGUUAGGAAAUAUACGAUAAAAUAUAAUACAUAACGUUAAAAAUACAUUAUCACUGAUCACUAAAAAAUCAUGUUAGUAGUAAUAAAAAUGAAAUGACAACAUAUUUAUUAAAACCAUAGAACGGCACACAACAAGGUGUUAUUAAAUAUACAAACUACAAAUUAAACAUGCUCAACGCAAGCACACAUAAAAAUGAGACAUCAUAUUUGGAUAUAUUUAAAUAAAUAAUUUUAAAUAUAUUAUAUUCUUGAUAAUUUUAAAAUUACUUAAAAAGAAACUAAAUUAUUAAAAAAUUAAUAUACAAAUAAAACUAAAGCAAUAUUUUGUAAUGUCAAAAUAAUAAAAGAAUAGAAAAUAUAUUAUGUUAAUAAAAUAGAUUUUAGAUUUUAAAGACUUCUAAUUCAUGUAAUAUUACAAAAUUCAAAAUUUGUUUAUUACAAUUAAUAUUUUACCAUUAGAUAUAUUAAAAUAAUAUUCUAGAUCGAUAUUCAAUUGUCAGUUUUCAACUAUUACACGUAAAAAAAUAUUAUUUAGUACACUUUUUUUUAAAGGAGGUUUUAUAUUCUAAGUAGGUUAUUGGAGUAAUUUUCUUUUCCAUGAAUUUAUUCAAGAUGAGAUUUCAAUCUUUUAAACUAAGAUAAUUUAUGUUCUAUACAUAAUUAUAUUUUUUUACAUAACUUUAAAAUCUCGGACUUGAUUCUUUAUAUUUUAUUAGCUAAUUCUGUUACAUAUAAUAGAAAUACUUACUUCAAACUAAAAAUAUAAAAAAAAAAUUAAAUUUAAAAAUUAGUUAUAUAUAAUUUAAUAUACAAAAAUUCACAUAUAAAUAAAAAUGAUAAAUGUAAUAAAUUUAAAUAUAUUAUCCGCGCUACGCGCGGAGAAAUGAUCUAGUAUGCCGUAAUAAUAGGAAGUCAAAAGAUAACAAUGAUUCUAAAUUAAUAAUAUUGAUUAUAUAUUAUAUGAUUCCACCAAAUUAAACUUUACAAAACCCACUUCUCAAGAAUGACAAUAGUGUUGUUCGUUUGACAGCCGCGGAAAGCUGCUUCUGCCUCUGAGUCAACCGCAGCGUCUGUUCAUUAUUUGAAAAAAAAAACAAAACUAUCAAUAAUCCGCAUGAAAAACCAAAAAUAUAAAUGAAUAAAAAAACUCAAAGGCAGCAAUUUUUUUUUAAAAUCAUUAUUCCCACUUGAUUGCGAGAGAGGGAUAAAGGAAAACUUUUCAUCUUCUUCACCUUCACCCUCAUCGUUUCCCCCUCUCUCUCAGCAUGCUCAUCAUCAGAAACAAUCUCCUUUUCUAUCCUUGAUGCGUCUUCUCUUCUAAUCUCCGGCGAGAGAGAGAGAGGCCAAAAACAAAGAUCCAGAAGAAGGAUAGAGAGAGAAGCUAUCUAUGGCCGCCGCCGCCGCUACGGCAGACAAGGAAGCUAUGGUGGAUCCUUUUCUAGUCGAGGCUCUCCAGAAUCCUCGUCACCGUCUCACCAGUUAGUCGAUUCUCUCCCAAACCCACGAUUCAGUUUCACUUUCUCUGCUCUUGUAUCGAUCUGAUUUUGCUCAAUCGUUAGUUUUCUAGGGUUUGAUUGAAUUAGGGGAAUUGGGGAUUAGGGUUUAGCUUUCGCGCUUCAGGAUCAGAUCAUCCACUUGUUAGCUACACAAUCAUAAUCAUCAUGAACAUAUUGAAAGCUUGAAUCAUCAAAUGUCAACACUUUUUUUUUAAUUUCCACAAAUGUUUUUACUUUCUAUAUAUGGAAAGAUUCUGUUUAAAGUUUGCUUCUUUUGCUUAUGUGUGUUUUAUAGUAUUGAGGAUGGAGCUCGAUAUUCAAAAGUUCUUUCAAAGCCCUGACCAGCUUCAGUUCGAGUUCCCGCCUUUUCCAACGUCAUACCUUCGUCUCGCUGCGCAUCGAGUCGCUCAGCACUACGGACUAGUCACCACGGCUCUGGACAACGGUGCCGGCGCCUUAGAUGGAUCCGACAACAGAAUCUUGGCGACGAGAACAGCCGAGAGCAGGUUUCCUCACGUCUGCUUAUCCGAAAUUCCGGUUAAGCAGCCGGAGGACGGUAGACCGGAGGGGUUCAAGAUCGCGAUCAAGGCUAGACCCACCAAGAGAGGAUCUGGCUGCGGAGGUGGCGUGUCAGGUGUGCAGCAGAGUCUUCAGAGAAGCGUUGAGGAGAGGAAAGAGGAGUAUGAUAAAGCUAGGGCGAGGAUCUUUAAUAGUCCUAGCAGUUCUGACUCUGAAGACUCUUCGUCUCUACAAGCUCCUCCUCUUGAAGGGAGUAACACUUGUGUAAACCGGAAUGAACCUGAGGUUACGGCGGUUAACAAUAAUACUUCCCGAGUUGCUAUUAUUAGAGAUAGAGAGAAAGAUCGGUAUGAUCCGGAUUAUGACAGGAGCUAUGAGAGAUAUGUCGUGGAUCCUGCAUACAGGUUAAAACACCUUUACAUCUCUUAAACGUCCACACUCAAGAGGUGUUCGCUUUUGCAGAGUGUAAGGUCUUUGUUCUUGUAGGUACGUUAGAUUUAUGCCGAAUCCGAUGCCAAUGCACAUGCCGUUUCACGAUGGGGGUUUCUUGCAGAUGCCAAGAGGUCAUCAAGCUAAUCUACACUACGGGCAUCCUCCGGCUAUGAGUCCCUUUAUUAAUAGCCCGGUUGGUUAUACACCGUGGCCGAACUCACCAGCUAUGAACUAUGCGCAGUCAUUGCACGGUCCAGACACACAUCUUUUCAGGUUACUAAUACUAGGCUUUAGUUGUUGUUGUUUUGGCCAUUUUGAUUAUUACUCGUUUCUGUGGCUUACGCUUCUUUUAACCUGCAGGCAUCCUUCUGCAAGCAAUCCCUGACGACAGGUAGUGUUCUGAGUACAAUGUCUGUAUGAAAAGAAAAAAGAAACAGAUUCUAUAGAUGUUAGCCUUUAGGAGCUCUCUGUUGUGUUGUUCCAAACAAUUGGCUGCUUCUUUCUUAUAUAACAAGACAUCUACUCUCUCUCUUUUUGUAUUUCUUUCUUAAUUAUAUCAAUAUCGAACUUUAAAUGACCUUCGAUCAUACUUGAACCAAUCUAUGAUCAUUGGAAUUUGGUUCUUAAAUGGUGUUUUUAUAUAAAAUGAAUUCUCAUGUGUUAAUUCUCACAUCUAGUUAUUUUUUUGUGACACAUAAAUAUGAGGUGGUGAAGACUUGGAGGGUCAUUUUCAAACAUUGGGCGAAGACAAACUAGUUUCGCAAAGUUGCCAAACGAAUAAUCAAUCACUCGUACUCUUUUGACCUAUGGUCUCAUAUCACACGAUCCGGUUUUAGAUCAUCAGUGAUAGUAUAUUUUAGUUUUAGGCUUGGAUUAGACCUGGAUUUCAAGUCAACAAUUAUUCUGGAUUAAUGAUUUAAUUAAUAUUGAAUUUAAGACUUAUGGAAGAAGAAAAAACAAUCAAGAAAUAUAAAACUAAUUUCUAGUCAGAAAAAUUGGGAAAGAACGAAACAUAAAUACACACUCUUUUAUGUGAAUAAAUUUGAUAUCAACGGUAAACAAUACUACUAAUUAUAACUGUAUAAUCUUUAUUUAGUAGUUUAAGAGCAAAAAUGCAAAGGUUGGGGCCUGACUUGGUGAGACAAGAUCAGAACACGCCAGCUAUGAUCCCACCACCAUUGCUUUAAAAUCAUUCCCCUCCUAAAUUAUUGAACCUUCAUUAUAGAAGCAACAAAAAUAUAAAACUAUAGAAAUAUUUCUAUUGGUUUUGGUCCCUUCAAUGAUUCCAUGGACAUAUAUAUGCAUAUAUGAAACUUUUAUAAUUGGUAGUGUAGUAAAUAAGUUUGGGGUAUGAUUGAGGAAGUGAGAGCAUCAGAUCCUGGAUUCUGAUUCUUCCUCCCAUUGUCUCUUUUUGCUGAUCGGUUGCUUCAUGCCAUUUGUACAUUGUACUAUUGCAUCCAUAACUCAUUAUUAUUACCUUAUUGGUUAAUCACACAAAUAGAAUUGUCUUCUCCGAUUAACACUAUCAGUAACUAACUUACCAUAUUUAGAUUACAUCACAGGAUUCUUGAUUCUUGUAAUAUAAAACUUAUAGAUGAGGCAAAGGGUAUGUAUAGUUUUUAGUAGCUGCAAUAUAUAGAAACAAAGAACAUUGUGAUGUACAUUUUCUAAACAAAGAUAGAUCCUUUUCCCAACCUUGAAUGUAUCCAUAAAAAAUGUACAAGAACUCAUCUUUACAAGAAUCAUAAAGUAGAAGCUACAAGAGAUUCAGACACAUAACUGGAUCACACUGCAUCAAUGUUAAACUGAUAAAGACUGCAUAAAACUUGUAUCAAUGUUCUUGAAAGACUACACUUUGAACAUACAAAGGAUUCAAAUGAAAAUGGUCAAGUCACAAAGUGUGUGAUCAACAGCUAGUGCUUGGCUUACAUUGAUCAAGUGUUUUCAAGCAAAGCUUAUUACCGGAAGAUUAGAUUUUUAUUCUAAUCAUCUCGAGUUGGGAACAAAGUCAAGACUGUUCUUCCUCCAAUAGCGUUUGCAGAUUCCAAAUCCUCAACGUAGUUACCAACCGGACUGUGCAACGACGGUGUAGACAUUCUCUGAAGCGUCUGCUGCUGCUGCGUUUGCCUCGCCAAGAACGACUGAUCAAACUUCCCAUUCGCCGGCGGCGAACCGAACUGCCCGUUCGCUGUCGGAGAGCCAUAAUGAGCGGCUGAGAUUUGACAGUGGUGAAACUGAGGCGGUUGCAGAUGAGCAUUAGCCGCUGCUGCCGCGGCGACCGCAGCCAUCUGCUGCUGCUGUUGAAGUGUAGCGAUCGGGACAAAAGACGGCAUGAAAUGGUCCGAACUCGGAACGCGGUUGGGGUGAAGAAAGUGAGCCGGCACGGGAGAGCUAGCGAAGAGCCGAUCCGUCGCCGGAUCCGACCCGCCUCCGCCGCCGGAAGAUAGCCCCUGCAUCCUCUUGAGGUAAAGCCUAUACUUCUGCAAGUGGCUCGCGACGUUCUCUCUGGUCAACCCGUCGACGCUCAUGAGCUGCAUAAUCGUCUUGGGAACGGCGUUCUUGAUCCCGAGGUGCGCCACCGCGUCGACGAAGCGUUUGUGCAGCUGCGGGGUCCACACGAGGCGAGGCCGUUUCAGGGUCCGCGCCGGCUCGUCUCCGGCGCCGGCGGUGGCUCCGGAGCCUAGAUCUGCUGAAUCCGCCGCGAAUUCGGCGGAGGAGUUGGCUUGUGAGGACGGAAGCUGCGGCGGCGGGGUGGAGUGGUGGUGGUGGUGGUGGUGGUGAGGUUGGCCGGAGUUGUUGGGGAGUCUGAUGUCGAAGGCGAGAGCGAGAUCGGGAGAGAUGAGGGAUUGGGAUAAGGGGAUGAGCUCCUCUGGUGAGGGAAGCUCUUGUUCCCAUCUUGUGAACCAGUCUGUAUCGUCUUCUCUCAUUAUCUCCGACAAGAAAGGACCAAACUUUUCCCGGAAAAUUUACAGACUUUUCCCGGGAAAUUACAAAUUGGAAAAAAAUCAGACUUUUUCACCGUCCAGCUUGAAGAAAGUGAUUUCAACGAAGAUGAGAUAAUCAAAAUCGGAUCUUGAGAGAAAAGAAAGGAGGAAACUUUUCUUCCCGGAAAAUUACAAACCGAGAAAAUGAGUAAAGGUUCUAGACUUUCUCUCACAGAAGAAGAGAGAGUGGGAAUCUGAGAAUGAGAUGAUGAUUGAGAGAGAUGGAGAGAAGUUCGAGGUGGAUCUUCUUUUUCUUUCUCAGCUUUUCAUCUUGAAGUUUUUUAUUUUUAUUUUUAUUUUUUAUGAUGAGUACUUACCAAAUCUACAUGUCUUUUUUAUUACAUAGUUUUCUGGAGAUUCUCAAUCAUGUUACAAAACUCGACCCAACGCUGACCUCGGCGCGUGGUGUCCAAUAGCUUGUUGAUUCCUGCUUUAAAUAGCUUUCUACAAGUUAAUUUCUUUUGAAUUAUCCAUUUAUAUAGUUUAGAUAUUUGAACUAUAAAUCUCAAACAUGGAAAGUUUAUGAAUAAACUACAAAACAUUUACUAAUCCCGUCAAUGAGAUGAUGAAGAAAUAAUUAUGUUUGUAAGAAUGAAAUAUAGACUUAGCAAAUAGAAAACGUGCUAAUUUGUUUGCAUGUAAAUUAAUGUUUAACUAAAGUAAUACAGUUAGCAUGUCACUUAUCAAAAA